CCCCCCUCCCUAGUCCAAUUCGGACUAGCCCAUGGGGAGGGGUGCGGCCACCCUUUGGGGCCUUUCUCUCCUUUCCCGUAUGGCCCAUUAAGGCCCAAUACGAAUUCCCGUAACUCUCCGGUACUCCGAAAAAUACCCGAAUCACUCGGAACCUUUCCGAAGUCCGAAUAUAGUCAUCCAAUAUAUCAAUAUUUACGUCUCGGCCAUUUCGAGACUCCUCGUCAUGUCCCCGAUCUCAUCCGGGACUCCGAACUCCUUCGGUACAUCAACAUACAUAAACUCAUAAUAAAACUGUCAUCGUAACGUUAAGCGUGCGGACCCUACGGGUUCGAGAACUAUGUAGACAUGACCGAGACACCUCUCCGGUCAAUAACCAAUAGCGGAACCUGGAUGCUCAUAUUGGCUCCCACAUAUUCUACGAAGAUCUUUAUCGGUCAAACCGCAUAACAACAUACGUUGUUCCCUUUGUCAUCGGUAUGUUACUUGCCCGAGAUUCGAUCGUCGGUAUCUCGAUACCUACUUCAAUCUCGUUACCGGCAAGUCUCUUUAGUCGUUCCAUAAUACAUCAUCCCGCAACUAACUCAUUAGUCACAAUGCUUGCAAGGCUUAUAGUGAUGUGCAUUACCGAGUGGGCCCAGAGAUACCUCUCCGACAAUCGGAGUGACAAAUCCUAAUCUCGAAAUACGCCAACCCAACAAGUACCUUUGGAGACACCUAUAGAGUACCUUCAUAAUCACCCAUUUACGUUGUGACGUUUGGUAGCACACAAAGUGUUCCUCCGGUAAACGGGAGUUGCAUAAUCUCAUAGUCAUAGGAACAUGUAUAAGUCAUGAAGAAAGCAAUAGCAACAUACUAAACGAUCGGGUGCUAAGCUAACGGAAUGGGUCAAGUCAAUCAUGUCAUUCUCCUAAUGAGGUGAUCCCGUUAAUCAAAUGACAACUCAUGUCUAUGGCUAGGAAACAUAACCAUCUUUGAUUAACAAGCUAGUCAAGUAGAGGCAUACUACUGACACUCUGUUUGUCUAUGUAUUCACACAUGUAUUAUGUUUCCGGUUAAUACAAUUCUAGCAUGAAUAAUAAACAUUUAUCAUGAUAUAAGGAAAUAAAUAAUACUUUAUUAUUGCCUCUAGGGCAUAUUUCCUUCACUAGCUCCAGUGACCGUACGAUGUCCAUCCAACGGCCGUAGUGCUUCUUCAACCUCUGGUCUUCUUGCUCCAGCCGCCCAAAGCAGCGCCGGUCGUGCCGCAUGCUCCUGCCUCCCGUGGUCGGCUGUGCUGCCGUGGAGGCCUCAGCGCCCCCUACUAUUCCCACCGCUGGCCAGGCCCUGCGGCGACGACAGCCUCACACCGCAGCCGAACUAGUGAACCCUCGUACUCCUCUCCGCGCGGGCUUACACUGCUGCGUCUUCCCCGCCUCCGCGUCGUCCCCUUCCUAGGCCUCACCGUCGUCCACCGCCGUGGUGCUCUCCGCGCGGCGUGGUCAACGUGGUCAAGGAACGACUUCCAUCGGAAGAGUACUGUACGUGGAGAGGCUGACAGCUGGGUCCACGGCCACAACCCAGUUUUUUUGUGAUUUGCCAAGUAAGUCGCUUUGCCAGGCCUGUUGGGCUGCAAAUCUUUCAAGACGAGGAGAGCUUUCAUUCGGCUGGCCGAGAAAAUGGCCCAUCAGUAAUGAGAAAUGGGCUGUACAUUUUUAAAACACAUCAAACCGGCAAUUAGUUUCAAAUAUCUUUUUUUUCAUUUCGAGAUGUUAAAUUACAUUAAUUUUUAUGCGUGGAGAAUUUGUUGGAUUUUAUAUUGAUAUACAUUUAUUUUUAAAAUCAGUUUGAAUGUGAGUCAAAAUUUCGGGAUUAAAAACAGUUCGGACCGCACCGAAAUAUGCAAAAUUUCGUAUAAUUUUUUAACCGUGGCCACAAUAUGGGCUGUAAUGCUAACAAAAAGAAUAUGGGCUCCAAAAAAACUUUAAUAAUUAGCAAAUGGGCUGUAAAUUAUUAUAAAUAAUGGCAGAUAGGUUGUAUGCUAUUUUCCACAGAUUUGAGGCUUUCCUAAAAAAAGGUUGACGCACAAGCAGUGACUGUUGGAUGGCCAUCCAACGGCCGUCGUGCUUCUUCAAUCUCUGCUCUUCCUCCUCCAGCCGCUCAAACAAGCGCCAGCGGGACUGCCUGCUCCCUCCUCCCCGCGGCCGGCUCUGCUGCCGCGCAGGCCUCACCGCCCCACCAUACUCCCAUCGCUGGCCUAGCCAUCCCUCUACUCACCCACACCUGCUGUUAUUCUCCGGCGACGGCAGACGAACCAGUAAACCCUCGUACAGUCGUGCUCCCCUCCGCGUGGGAAACAACUGCUGAGUCUUCCCUGCCUCCGUGUCAUUCCCUUCCUAGGCCUCGCCGUCAUCCACCGCCCUGGUGCUCUCGGCGCGGCCUGGUCAACGUGGUCAACGACCGACAUGCAUCUGAAGUGGACUGUACGUGGAGAGGCCGAUAGCUGGGUCCACCGCCGCACGUAAGGAAAUGCCUCCUUAUUACGCGCAAAAUAAUGAUUCCUCCACCUGACAUCAGGGACCCACCGAAAGGGCCUCUGUAUUUCGCGAAAAAAUGUUACCGCCGCUGACAGCUCGGACCCACCAGCUAUAUCUCCGCACGCAAGGAAGUGCGUCCUUAUUACGCACAAAAAAAUGAACACUCCCCCUGCUAGCUGGGACCCAGUAUAGUGGCAGGCUGACUUGUGGGCCUACUAAGUUGACUGGGACAGGGGCCUUUGUCAACUUUAGUCAAUAUGAACGAUUCUAGCUCCAGUGACCGUACGAUGUCCAGCCAACGGCCGUAGUGCUUCUUCAACCUCUGGUCUUCUUGCUCCAGCCGCCCAAAGCAGCGCCGGUCGUGCCGCAUGCUCCUGCCUCCCGUAGCCGGCUGUGCUGCCGCGGAGGCCUCACCGCCCCUACUAUUCCCACCGCUGGCCAGGCCCUGCGGCGACGGCAGCCUCACACCGUAGCCGAACCAGUGAACCCUCGUACUCCUCUCAGCGCGGGCUUCCACUGCCGUGUCUUCCCCGACUCCCCGUCGUCCCCUUCCUAGGCCUCGCCGUCGUCCACCGCCCUGGUGCUCUCGGUGCGGCGUGGUCAACGUGGUCAAGGAACGACUUCCAUCGGACGUGUACUGUACGUGGAGAGGCUGACAGCUGGGUCCACGGCCGCAGUAAGGAAGUGCCUCCUUAUUACCGGGAAAAUAAUGAUUCCUCCACCUGACAGCUGGGACCCACCGGACGGGCCACUGUAUUUCGCGAAAAAACAUUUCCCCCUAAUUGCUGGGACCCACCAGCUACAUCUUCGCAUGCAAGGAAGUGCGUCCGGGAAAAAAAAUGAUUCGCCCCCUGACUGCUGGGACCCACCAGCUACAUCUUCGCAGGCAAGGAAGUGCCUGACAGUCGGGACCCACCUGGUCGAAGCGUACGUAGCGUUGUCAUUCUGGUCGCGAACGUGUACGUACAUAUAUACUAGUGGAUGUAGAGGCGCGCACGUGUCGUAGUAUAGGCGCGUACGUGUCGUAGUAGAGGCGCGCACGUAGCAUGUACACGUACAUACAGCAGCCAGGGUGCAAGAAAGAAAAUACGGCCACGUAUGUGUACAUAAGGGCGGGGUCUCGAAUGCCUACUCGCGCAUACGUACGGCCAGGGCUCGUGUACAUGGCUGGGUCGGAAUGGAGAAACAGCGUCGUCGUCGUGUUCAUGGGGAGGCAACGGAAUGCGUCGUGUUUAUGGGGAGGCAACGGAAUGCGUCGUGUACAUCGGGAGGCAACGGAACGCGUGGGAGCCAAUUGGCUGGGUCGGAACGGAAUGCGUGGGCGUGUUCAUCGGGAGGGCUUGGACGGAACAGGCGAUGGAAACGAGGCCUAGCGUACCGCACAACGGAGGAAACAGACCUCCUACGUUCGGAACGGGGUCCUGUUGAUCGGGAGGGGUGUGGCGUACCGCAAAAUGGAGGAAACGGACCUCCUACGGUCGAAACGUGGGUCCUGUUGAUCGGGAGGGGUGUGGCGUACCGCAAAACGGACGAAACGGACCUCCUACGGUCGAAACAGGGGUCCUGUUGAUCUGGAGGGGUGUGGCGUACCAGAAAACGGAUGAAACGGACCUCCUACGGUCGAAACGGGGGUCCUGUUCAUCGGGAGGGGUGUAGCGUACCACAAAACGGGACUCCACGGGAUACUGUUCAUCUCCACCGUCGACCUCCUCCAGCCUCCACGGGCUACCGUCGACCUCCUCCAGCCUCCACGGGCUCCUGUUCAUCCAGCCUCCACCGCGCGCUACUCCACCGGCUACUGUUCAACCACCCCUCCACGGGCACCCCUCCACCAUCUACUGUUCAUCUAGCCAUCCACACCACGGGGUCCUGUUCAACCACCCCUCCACGGGCACCCCUCCACCGUCUACUAUUCAUCCAGCCCUCCACCACACCACGGGGUCCUGUUCAUCCAGAGGCAACGCCACCACUCACUGUUCAUCCAAACCCCCCGCAACACUCACUAUUCAUCCCAGAGACAGCAUCGAUCGGCUUCAGUUAGCAGCAGUAGCGAAGGAAUCGCUCGAUCGGGUUCAGUUAACAGCCAUCGAUCUUUUGCUCGGGUUCAGUAACGCGUAGCCUGCAGUGCAAUCACUCGGGUUCAGUUAGAGCCCAACGCCUCGCUCGGGUUCUGUUAGAGCCAACGCCUCGCACACACGCGCGUACGUGUACGAGAGAAAAGCGCAUCGCUCGGCCCCCGACCUCCCACCGUAACCGGGAACUGCCCGAAAUUUUCCUCGCCCUCGCUUCUACCACGGUUUUUUCCGUCAUGGACGGCCCAAAGAAUGUCAUGCAGCUGCGUCUCCGGCCUGCCCAGGACGAAAAGCCCAUUUUCUGUCAUGAUUUUUUGUCAUAGAAGUAGGAGCCCACCACAUCUAUGAUGAUACUGGGUUUUGUCACAAUUAUCGUCAUAGAAGUGUCAUAUGUAUGACAGAAAAAAAUUCGUUCGGCCCAAAAUGUCACGGAUGUGUCUUUUUUUGUAGUGAGGCUAGCAAAAGACUGGGAAGCGACCAACUAGAGAGCGACAACAGUCAUGAACAUGCAUUAAAAUUAAUAGACAUUGAGUACGAGCAUGAGUAGGAUAUAAUCCACCAUGAACAUAAAUAUCGUGAAGGCUAUGUUGAUUUGUUUCAACUACAUGUGUGAACAUGUGCCAAGUCGAGUCACUUAAAUCAUUCAAAGGAGGAUACCACCCCACUAUACCACAUCACAACCAUUUUAAUAGCAUGUUGGCACGCAAGGUAAACCAUUAUAACUCAUAGCUAAUCAAGCAUGGCAUAAGCAAUUAUGAUCUCUAAUUGUUAUUGCAAACAUGUUUAUUCAUAAUAGGCUGAAUCAGGAACGAUGAACUCAUCAUAUUUACAAAAACAAGAGAGGUCGAGUUCAUACCAGCUUCUCGCAUCUCAGUCAGGCCAUCAUAUAUCGUCAUAAUUGCCUUUCACUUGCACGACCGAACGAUAUAAAAAUAAUAAGAGUGCCCGUGCAUUGGACUAAGCUGGAAUCUGCGAGCAUUCAAUAAACAGGAGAAAACAAGGCAAUAUGGGCUCUUGGUUAAAUCAACAAUAAUGCAUAUAAGAGCCACUUCAACAAUUUAAUUAUGGUCUUCUCCUAUCGACCCCCAAAGAAAAGAAAAGAAAUAAAACUAUUUACACGGGAAAGCUCCCAACAAGCAAAAGAAGAACGGGAAAUCUUUUUGGGUUUUCUUUUUAAUUAUUACUACUACAACAAGAAAAAUAAACUAACUAAAAGCUGAACUAAUUUUUUUGGUUUUUCUUAAGGUUUCUUAAACACACAAGAAGAAAGCAAGAAAAAAAAACAAACUAGCAUGGAUAUUACAGUGAAAAAGUAUGAGCACCGACAUCUAGCAAUGAGUGUGUGAACAUAAAUGUAAUGUCGAUGGGAAAUACGUACUCCCCCAAGCUUAGGAUUUUGGCCUAAGUUGGUUUAUUGCCACGGAUGGCCUGGCGGAUAUCCAUAGUUGUAGCUGGGGUCGUACUGAGCUGCGGCAGUUAUUGCCUCUUGAGCUGCAGCGUGGCGGCGAGCUGCCUCCGCCCUCCUCUCAUACUCAUCUGCCUCCUCUCUGGUAAAAACAUAUCUUCCUUUUGCCUCCCCACAAAGGAACUAGUGAGAUAGUGGUAUUGGCUGCACUUCUCUGCCUCAAAGCUCACAAGAUCAGCGUUACACAAAUAUGCGUUAAAUUCUUCCUUGAUUCCCGCUCGAUCCAUAAAGUUUUCUGAAGGCCAUUCACAAGGCCGCACUGGAGCGUCCCUUGGUGGCUCAUCGUCAGCAUCACGCAUUGCAAGCCUAGGUCCUUGCUUCCUUGAAGAACCACCUUGGAACAUUUUCCUAGCAUAUUUCUUCCUUUGAAAAAUUUCCGAAAUUUUUAGUAACUUCAAAAUAAAGUCAACCAAGCUCAAUAAAAUUGAUAGCAACUACUCCUACAAGUGCCUAGAGCCUAUAUCAAGCAUUAGAACUACUUGGAACCAUAUAAAUUUGACAUGCAAGCUCAAGAACAUGGUCACCUAGGCAGCACAAAUUUGCAAUGAAUAGAGCACUAGAACAAAAACUAAUUGGACCAAUGGAGGAGUCACAUACCAAGGAACAAUCCCCCCAAGCAGUUUUGUGAGAGGUGCUUUGAGCAAGGAGAUCGAAAAUCGCAGCAAAAUGAGCUAGAACUCGUGCUUGAGCUGGAUAUUGGUGUUUGUGGGAGGAAGGAGAAGUGUGUGGGUGCAGGAAUAAGUGGAGGGGGGCCACCGUGGGCCCACGAGGCAGGGGGCGCGCCCAGGGGGGUAGGGCGCGCCCUCCACCCUCGUGGCCAGGUGCUUGCCCCUCCUGCUGUGUUCUCAGUGCCAGAUAUUCGAAAAAAUUCUAGAAAAAAAUCAUAUUCCAUUUUCAGGGCAUUUGGAGAACUUUUAUUAUCGGGGUAUUUUUAUAUUGCACGGAUAAAUCAGAAAACAGAUAGAAAAAUAGUAAUUUUACUUUAUUUCAACUAAAUAACAGAAAGUAGAAGGAGGGUACAGAAGGUUGUGCCUUCUAGUUUCAUCCAUCUCAUGCUCAUCAAAAGGAAUCCACUAACAAGGUUGAUCAGGUCUUGUUAACAAACUCAUUCCGAAUAACAUGGAACCGGAGAAAUUUCGAAUAACACUAUGUUACCUCAACGGGGAUAUGCACAUCCCCUAUAAUAAGAAUAUCAUAUUUCUUCUUGACAGUAGGUAGAGGAAAUUCAAAACCUCCAAAAAUAAUCGAUGGAGUUUUUCCAAUAGAAUUGAUACUGUGGACCUGAGGUUGUUUCCUCGGAAAGUGUACCGUAUGCUCAUUACCAUUAACAUGAAAAGUGACAUUGCCUUUGUUGUAAUCAAUAACAGCCCCUGCAGUAUUCACAAAAGGUCUUCCAAGAAUAAUAGACAUACUAUCGUCCUCGGGAAUAUCAAGAAUAACAAAGUCCGUUAAAAUAGUAAUGUUUGCAACCACAACAGGCACGUCCUCAAAAAUACCGACAGGUAUAGCAGUUGAUUUAUCAGCCAUUUGCAAAGAUAUUUCAGUAGGUGUCAACUUAUUCAAAUCAAGUCUACGAUAUAAAGAGAGAGGCAUAACACUAACACCGGCUCCAAGAUCACAUAAAGUAGUUUUAACAUAGUUUCUUUUAAUGGAGCAUGGUAUAGUGGUACUCCUGGAUCUCCAAGUUUCUUUGGUAUUCCACCCUUAAAAGUAUAAUUAGCAUGCAUGGUGGAAAUCUCAGCUUCCGGUAUCUUUCUUUUAGUUGUAACAAUAUCUUUCAUAUACUUAGCAUAAGGAUUCAUUUUGAGCAUAUCAGUUAAUCGCAUACGCAAAAAGAUAGGUCUAAUCAUUUCAGCAAAGCGCUCAAAAUCCUCAUCAUCCUUUUUCUUGGAUGGUUUGGGAGGGAAAGGCAUGGGUUUCUGAACCCAUGGUUCCCUUUCUUUACCGUGUUUCCUAGCAACAAAGUCUCUCUUAUCAUAACGUUGAUUCUUUGAUUGCGGGUUAUCAAGAUCAACAGCAGGAUCAAUUUCUACAUCAUUAUCAUUACUAGGUUGAGCAUCAUCAUAAACAUCAUCAUUAGCAUUUUCAUUAAGUUCAUGUUCAUUACCAGAUUGUGUUUUAGCAUCAGAAAUAGAAAUAUCAUUUGGAUUCUCAGGUGGUUUAGCAAUAGGUUCACUAGAAGCAUGCAAAGUCCUAUCAUUUCUCGUUUUCUUCUUUUUUAGAAGAACUAGGUGCAUCAAUAUUAUUUCUCUGAGAAUCUUUCUUAAUUCUCUUGGGGUGGCCUUCUAGAUACAGAGGUUCCUGAGUCAUUUUACCAGUUCUAGUAGCCACUCUAACAGCAUAAUCAUUUUUCUUACUAUUCAUUUCAUUGAGCAAAUCAUUUUGAGCUUUAAUUACUUGUUCUACUUGAGUGGUAACCAUAGAAGCAUGUUUGCUAAUGAGUUUAAGUUCACCUUUAACAUUAGCCAUGUAAUUACUCAAGUGUUCAAGCAUAUCGGAAUUGUAUUUCAAUUGUCUACCAAAAUAAGCAUUGAAGUUUUCUUGUUUGACAAUAAAAUUAUCAAACUCUUCUAAGCAUUGUCUAGCAGACUUAUAGUGAGGAAUAUCACCUUCAUCAAAUCUAUAGAGAGAAUUUACCUUUACUACCUGUGUUGGGUUAUCAAGACCAUGAGUUUCUUCAAUAAGUGGUGGUUUAAGAUCAUAUGUUUCUUCAACAGGCGGUAAAUUAAGACCAUGUAUUUCUUCAAUAGGAGGUAAAUUCUUAACAUCUUUAGCUUUAAUACCCUUUUCUUUCAUAGAUUUCUUUGCCUCUUGCAUAUCUUCAGGACUGAGAAAUAGAACACCUCUUUUCUUCGGAGUUGGUUUAGGAAUAGGCUCAGGAACUGGCUCAGGAAGUGUCCAAUUAUUUUCAUUUGUCAACAUAUUAUUCAAUAGAAUUUCAGCUUCAUCCGGUGUUCUUUCCCUGAAAACAAAACCAGCACAACUAUCCAGGUAAUCUCUAGAAGCAUCAGUUAGUCCAUUAUAAAAGAUAUCAAGUAUUUCAUUUUUCUUGAGAGGAUGAUCAGGCAAAGCAUUAAGUAACUUGAGAAGCCUCCCCCAAGCUUGUGGGAGACUCUCUUCUUCAAUUUGCACAAAGUUGUAUAUUUCCCUCAAAGCAGCUUGUUUCUUAUGAGCAGGGAAAUAUUUAGCAGAGAAGUAAUAAAUCAUAUCCUGGGGACUAUGCACAGAACGAGGAUCAAGAGAAUUAAACCAUAUCUUAGAAUCACCCUUUAAUGAGAACGGAAAUAUUUUAAGGAUAUAAAGAUAGCGAGAUCUCUCAUCACUAGUGAACAGGGUGGCUAUAUCAUUUAAUUUAGUAAGAUGUGCCACAACAGUUUCAGAUUCAUAGCCAUGAAAAGGAUCGGAUUCAACCAAAGUAAUUAUAUCAGGAUCAACAGAGAAUUCAUAAUCCUUAUCAGUAACACAGAUAGGUGAAGUAGCAAAAGCAGGGUUAGGUUUCAUUCUAUCAUUAAGAGAUUGCUGCUUCCAUUUAGCUAAUAACCUCUUGAGUUCAUAUCUAUCUUUGCAAGCUAAAAUAGCUAAAGUAGCUUCUUUAUCAAAAACAUAACCCUCAGGAAUAACAGGCAAGUCUUCAUCAUCACUUUCAUCAAUAUAAUCAGUUUCAAUAUUUUCUUUCUCUCUAGCCCUAGCAAUUUGUUCAUCAAGAAAUUCACCAAGUGGCACAGUAGUAUCAAGCAUAGAAGUAGUCUCAUCAUAAGUAUAAUGCAUAGCAGAAGUGGCAUCAUCAAUAACAUGUGACAUAUCAGAACGAAUAGCAGAAGCAGGUUUAGGUGUAGCAAGCUUACUCAAAACAGAAGGUGAAUCAAGUGCAGAGCUAGAUGGCAGUUCCUUACCUCCCCUCGUAGUUUUGAGGGAUAAAUUGUUGUCUUAUCGUCCUUCAAGUUCUUCAUAGUGACCAGCAGAUAUAAAUCCCAAGUGACUCAAAGAAUAGAGCUAUGCUCCCCGGCAACGGCACCAGAAAAUAGUCUUGAUAACCCACAAGUAUAGGGGAUCACAACAGUUUUCGAGGGUAGAGUAUUCAGCCCAAAUUUAUUGAUUCGACACAAGGGGAGCCAAAGAAUAUUCUCAAGUAUUAGUAGUUGAGUUGUCAAUUCAACCACACCUGGAUAACUUAGUAUCUGCAGCAAAGUAUGUAGUAGCAAAGUAGUAUGGAAGUAACGGUAACGGUUGCAAAAGUAAUAUUUUUGGAUUUUCUAGUGAUUGUAACAGUAGCAACGGAAAAGUAAAUAAGCGAAGAACAAUAUGUGAAAAGCUCAUAGGCAUUGGAUCGGUGAUGGAGAAUUAUGCCGGAUGUGGUUCAUCAUGUAACAAUCAUAACAUAGGGUGACACAGAACUAGCUCCAAUUCAUCAAUGUAAUGUAGGCAUGUAUUCCGAAUAUAGUCAUACGUGCUUAUGGAAAAGAACUUGCAUGACAUAUUUUGUCCUACCCUCCCGUGGCAGCGGGGUCCUAAUGGAAACUAAGGGAUAUUAAGGCCUCCUUUUAAUAGAGUACCGGACCAAAGCAUUAACACAUAGUGAAUACAUGAACUCCUCAAACUAUGGUCAUCACCGGGAGUGGUCCCGAUUAUUGUCACUUCGGGGUUGCCGGAUCAUAACACAUAGUAGGUGACUAUAGACUUGCAAGAUAGGAUCAAGAACUCACAUAUAUUCAUGAAAACAUAAUAGGUUCAGAUCUGAAAUCAUAGCACUCGGGCCCUAGUGACAAGCAUUAAGCAUAGCAAAGUCAUAGCAACAUCAAUCUCAGAACAUAGUGGAUACUAGGGAUCAAACCCUAACAAAACUAACUCGAUUACAUGAUAAAUCUCAUCCAACCCAUCACCGUCUAGCAAGCCUACGAUGGAAUUACUCACGCACGGCGGUGAGCAUCAUGAAAUUGGUGAUGGAGGAUGGUUGAUGAUGACGAUGGCGGCGGAUUCCCCUGUUCGGAGCCCCGAACGGACUCCAGAUUAGCCCUCCCGAGAGAGUUUAGGGCUUGGCGGCGGCUCCGUAUCGUAAAACUGAUGAAUCUUUCUCUCUGAUUUUUUCUCCCCAAACACAAAUAUAUGGAGUCGGAGUUGAGGUCGGUGGAGCUCCAGGGGGCCCACGAGGCAGGGGGCACGCCCCCCACCCUUGUGGCAAGGGUGUGGGCCCCCUGGCCUUGAUUCUUUCGCCAGUAUUUUUUAUUAUUUCCAAAAAUAAUCUCCGUGGAGUUUCAGAUCAUUCCAAGAACUUUCGUUUCUGCACAUAAAUAACACCAUGGCAAUUCUGCUGAAAACAGCGUCAGCCCGGGUUAGUUCCAUUCAAAUCGUGCAAGUUAGAGUCCAAAACAAGGGCAAAAGUGUUUGGAAAAGUAGAUACGAUGGAGACGUAUCAAGUAUCCGGACCUGUCACACACACACCAUACAUAACUGCAGAGAGAAUAUAAUUUACCACGAGUCCAAUCCGCUGACAUCUUUUUGUAGCACGACAUUACGUCUGACCGGUCAUAAUUCAAAACCAUUUUUUGUGUUCGCCGCUCCACGUCCCGAGAUGCGGUUGCCAUUGGCACGUCUUGUCAAAGUAGAGAUCGUGUCCCCUUAUCGUGGGAUUCUCAUCAAUGCGGGCAUGGGUAUCCCAACCGUGCCGUUUAUAUAGCCCUUGGGAAUAGGCAAGUUCUAAGGCGAGUGGGGAGGCGUUCAAUAUUCAUUGCCUUUAUAAGGGGAUAAGGAUUCCCUCUUCCUCUCCCACGCCUUUUCUCUAUCUUCGCCCUUCCAAUAUCGAGCUCCAGCGCCCAAGUUCUCAUCUCCUUUCCACUCGAGCUAGCACUCAACCAUGUCCGGAUCCGGAGGUCAGGGCAAGUUGAUGGUCUCCUCCGUCAAGGAGGAGGACAUUACUGAGCUUCGGGCGGCAGGAUACUUGGCGAAGGAAAUCGCCAACCGUCUGCCGGCCGAGGCACAAGUCGUUCCCACGCCGAAGCUCAACGGGAGGGUGGUAUUCAUCCCUCAUUUCUUCCGCGGACUAGGGUUCCCACUCCACCCUUUCGUCCGCGGGCUGAUGUAUUAUUACGGGAUAGAUUUCCACGAUUUGUCCCUGAACUCCUUCCUCAACAUCUUGGCGUUUAUCGUCGUGUGUGAGGCCUUCCUCCGCAUCCAACCCCACUUCGGGUUGUGGCUCAAAGUCUUCAACGUGAAGCCGAAGGUGGUGGAUGGUCAGCACGCGGAGUGCGGAGGAGCCAUGGUGAGCAAGUUGUCCAACGUCUCCUGGCCGAAAGGCACUUUUGUGGACACAGUAAAGGAGUGGUAGAAACAGUGGUUCUACAUCACAGAACCCCGCAGCACCACCUGGGCCGCAGCUGCCGAAUUCCGCUCCGGCGCUCCCAUGCGACUCACCUCCUAGGUCGAGAAGAGUCCGAACUGGUGUUCACCCGAUGAGCUGAUAGCGUUGCAGACGCACGUUCAAAGCAUGAUAGCCAAGAACGUCAACCUUGUCGAUGUAAUCCAGGUGAUGCUAGUUCGCCGGAUCCUCCCGUGCCAGCGCAGAAGUCACCCUCUGUGGGAGUUUAAUCCGAAGAAGCACCAAACCCUGGUGAGGCUCUUCAAAACCACUCACGAAGGUGCCUGGAAGUUGCUCGUUAAGGGCAACGAGAAACCGCCGGCCACUGAUUCAGACUGUGGGCACGACGUCAAACACCUCGCCAGCGAGGUAUGUCAUUUUUAACGUAUCCCCUACUUGUUUGUUUCGAGGAUGAUGUCUGAGCUUUUAUCAUUGCUUUUUCAGGAUUGGAUGGAGAGGGCGAAGCGGAUCUAGUGUCCGGCUCCGCUACCUGAAGAACUGGUCAUCCCACAUCUAGCGAAGAUGCUGGUGCCGGCACCAUAUAAGGCGUCGGAGAAGAAGGCCAAGAAGAAGGCCAAGGGGGCCAAAAGUGGCCCCUGUCCCAGGGGCGCUUCGGACAUGACGUCCGAAGACGAAGAAGCCCAUUCCUCCGUCCCUGAGGACGACGACGAGGAAGAGGAGGAGGAGGAGGAGAAGAACCCUCCCCCUGAGGAGGGAAAGAAGAAAAGGGGGGCUUCCAUGAAUCUGGAGGCGGGAACGCCCAAGAAGGGGAAGGGCUCCCUUGCGGUCAACACCGCGUGGGACGUUGACAGUAGUCCAGAGCGACGCCCCCAUACUAAACCUCGGGCCGCAUCGUAAGUACUAUGACUCACAUAUACCCGUAUACCCGGCCUCUCCUUUUUAUCGUUUUGACGUGGUUAAUUGUGUUAUUGCAGUCCGGCCCGUGAUAGCAUCCAGCGAUCCUCAUCUGGAGGUUCGUUGGAUCCGGCAGAAAUGGCCAGCAUGUCACCGCUGACCGCUUGUUCCCCCGAGGCCAAGGACGACACCGAAGUGUUGUCCCGGAGGACCGCUCCGAGCCGAGGAGGGGCCCAGGAUGCUAUCCAGGAGGCACCACAAGGCGAGACCUCCGCUGCCGGACACAUGGGGGAGCAAAUCCCCAUGGAAACUGGCGAGGAGGGACAUAUUCAGUUUGACCCUCAGCCGAAUACGAUUCCGGGGACCGAUACGGCCCCGGAAUCCGGUGCGCACCUUCCUUCGAAGGAGGGGGGUGCUCCUAUUCCACCGAUGGCCUCUGUCCAACCAGGGGCACCGGAUAACCUGAUGGAGGCGCUAUGAGGCGCCUCCAUUGUGGACGAGCACCGUGUCCUUAUGGGUACGGUGAUCGAGAAGGUUCAGUCUGUCAAGAGCGGACUAAACGAGGCCUGCAACAAUCUGUUGACAGGUUUUGAGGUAAGUCACGUAGAAAGAGAACACCCCGUGCUGACAGUUGCCCCUGAGACACUGUCCGGUGUUCGGAAAGAAAGGCCAGACAGAGGAUCAAUCCUUUGUAGGAGACUAACUUGAUAUGUAUGAAUAAGCAGGCGUCACUGUUGGCCGCGACCUCGCAUGCUGCUGAAGUCUCUGAACUGAAGCAGAGGUUGGAGCAGACCGAGAACGAGCUCGGCGAGGUGAAGAUUCAGCUCCACAAAAAGCAAGGUGAGUAGUGAUUUGCUGUGUAUUCGGAAAGAAUAGGCGGUGAGUAUUGACCGGAGUGUCAUAAUAUGUGUAGGGGCGGCGAGCGAGGUCGAGGCCCUAAAAAAUGCCCUGACCGAAGCCGAGGGGAAGGUUGUCCAGCAGCAAGCCGCCCAUAAGAAGCUCAAGACCCGGGUCAACGAGGUCCGGCAGGAGCUCCAGGACGCGGUGAAGAAGUGCGAAGCCUUGGAGUGCGAGGCGUCGGUUCGAGGGACCGAACUUACCAAGGUUCGCCAGAACACAGAGGCCGCACGGAAUGAGGCCCGGGACGCUCCCCGGGAGAUCCAGGAGGCCAACAAGAUCGCAGCGGGUAAGGCUUUUAACAUGCAAAGCAAGUAUGCGGAGAGGAAGUACCUUUUACUAACCCGGAUUCGGAGUUGCCCAGGGGCUUUUGCGGAUCUACCACGCAGCGUGUCCGAUGUUGCGGAGUUCUUCCGAGCCAGAGAAGGGAAUUCCACGGAGAAGCUAUUCUGGUCGCAGUAUGCUGUGCCAGAACAUCCGGUACCCUUUGCCGAUCAACUGAAACAGUUGGUCGAGCUGCACAGGGUGGCCGAACUGGCCAUGAAGGAUUUAAUAAUCCGGCUGUGGCCAGUCGAAGCUAUACCUAGCAGUUAUUUUGGCCUCAUGAAGCGGGUGGUGGAAGCCUGUCCGCGGCUAGACAUCGUCAAGCGAUCAGUCUGCAUCGAAGGUGCCCGCAUGGCCUUCACCCGUUGCAAGAUGUGGUGGGCGAAAAUGGACGCUGUCGAGGUGGCCAGGGGGGCGCCAGAGGGCAAGGAGCACCGCACACCCAAGCGAUAUUUUGCGGAUGUCCUAGAGGGGUCUCGACUUGCAGCGGCGUAGUGCGGGCAGGACAUUAUUUUUGAAUGAAUACAUUCGUGUUUUGUCUUUGCCUUGUAUGAUGAGAACAAAGCAUGUGUGUAAUAUAAUAUUUGUUAUGUUUUAAUUGUUUCCUCCUGUGCGGCCGUGUUGUAUGGAAUCUGAGGGUUGGCCAGUCGUCGGCUUCUGCCCUCACGUAGGUAGUAUGGAGGUGUUCAGGAUGGAAUCUAAACAAUCUUGAUCCAAUUAUAUGGUCCUUGAAGAAGUUGUUUAGCGCAACGAAGAGGCAAUCAGACUAUGCGGCUUAAACGCCCUCACUUAGCCAUGGGAGUUUUAUAAUAAAACAUGGGCGCAGCCCCUGGUAUACGAACCAGAGUGCUGUUAGCGUCUGAUCGGGAAGUACCGAUCCUUCGCGGAAUGCGGAAAAAAUCUCCAACGAUUUGUGACCUCCGAACAGCUGACCGGCUCUCGCCGCAUCAUGAUAGUCAGUUUUGGAUUUAUCUACUGAGGUGCUCAUCCGGUUUAGACCAGGGCACAAUCGCAGUAGUUCUCCCUUUACUACCCUAGCCGAUGUAGCAGAACGUAGGGUAGCAAGCACAGGAGCCGGGCAACCCAACUAUUGACCAAAGGCAUGAUUCAGAGCCAAUGCAUAUAAUGCUAAAUUCGGGGUGCCGAACUUAUCUAUAAGAAGUGUUCGCACUUUGUUGCCGUAUUAUGGGGUGAUGGGGAGCCCCUGGCGAAUAUGAAACGUACCAAAGUGCACGGGUGCGAGAAUAUAAGUAAUUAAUGGCAAAGUAAAACAGAAAGAGAGCAGAGGUAGUAUCUGGGGCCCCUUGACUUGGGUCGUGAACUGUUUCCAUUAUAGUUGGGUUAAUGCGUCAAAGCGCAUUUAUACAAAUAGUGCGAUAAGCAGCCGGCUAUUUAACAUGCCAUAACCAAAGGAGAGCUGCAUUUGGGUACUGAAAACAUGUAGAGUAAUCAUUGGAUUGUCCUCUAGAGCUUCCCCUGUAUGCUUGUGCUCUGUGCCAAUCUGGUGUACUUGUCCUUUGACAGGACCAGUAAUCAAGCCAUCGAAGGAGGCAUGUAUAAAAGAGAGCUGAAAGAAAAAGAAGAAAAAAGAAAAUAGUAAAGAUACAGGUGAGUCCGGGACCGGUGUAGCCGAACUGUGGACUACAAGCUUGUUGUGCCUCCGUCAAUGCCCAUGGGAUUUUGAGUGCGUAAUUAUGUACGCGUGUGUCGGAGUAAAUGGCCACGGGUAGCCUAACCGACUACCCCUGGCUCUUCAGGAAAUUUAUCAGGCCUUUGGGCCUUCAAGCACUCCAAGUAUUUGGGCCGCCUUCCCCGGCCGGCUACCACUAAAGCUGACUCCCGGAAGGCGACCCAGCCUCACCGACUCCUCCCAAGGACGACUGGGGCUGGCCGACUCCAAGAAGCCGGCCAAGAAGGACGCCGACUCCAAGGAGCCGACAAAGACCACAACCACUCCAACAUAACGGCGACGUGACGGGGUAUGGCCACAGUGCGGCCCACGACCCCCGAAGCCCGAGGCGGGCAUGGCUACAGGAGGCCGUACGGGAGGGACGUCUCCCGUGCGGCUCGGCACUGUAGCCACGCUAGCCUCGAUGUCAUCCACGACCCACUCCUGUACGGCCCAAGGACUGCGGGCCCCUUCAGCCAGAGAGAGGCGUGAAGGCGCCCCGGCUUUUCCUAGUCGGCCAAGAGUGUAGCCGGCCUCCAGAAGCUGGCUACCCCCUUCCUCGAAGCAGGAGCCCCAUUAAGGAGACAAGACGAGGUGAGGCUACAGUGAUAGCCCCCGAGGCGGCCCACUGUAGCCACGCUCACCUCGACAAAGCCCUCAUCAUCAGAGGCGCGGCUAUAGUAAGCAGCCGCCGACAAGACCCUAAGCGGUGGGACCGGCCUGUCGACCAAGUAGCCGGCAGCCGGCGGGACCCACCAGCCGGCGGGACCCAGCCGCCGGCGGAGAAGCCGGCGAGCGUAGACACUGACGGCUAGGGCCAGUUCCCAAUCGGAUUACCAUUGUACCCCCGGGGGGUAAGCCUAUAUAAACCCCCCGGAGCACCCAUGUAAAGGGUUCGCACCUCUGCAUGUUUGGCUUCCAAGCAUAGCACACACACACACACCAUAGAUAGAGAGAAGCAAGAGCUAGCCUUGUUCUUCUUCUCCCUUGAUCCCAACAGCUCUAGGAGCGAUUGUAGCUACCCUUUAUCGAUCUAGUGAUCAUGCGGAGACCCCGCAGAGCAGGACUAGGGGUGUUAUCUCCUCGGAGAGCCCCGAACCUGGGUAAGAUUCGCCGGCGUGCAUGUCUUCGCCUCAUCCCGUUUCCAGGCACCGGCGACGUUUUAUUGGCUCCCACAAUGAUAAGCCAUCCCUUGGCAUAUGUCGCACCAACCACCCGACAUUUGGCGCCCACCGUGGGGCCAGGUGCACCGUCGUCCGGAGACCUGUUCUGGACGGGAACCCUCUUCCUUCCUCGCGAGCGCAGCCAGCCUGCUGCGCCCGACGGCGUUUGCCCCGACGCGCUGCAAGGCGUCGACGACGCCUGCGCAGCGAGCCGUCUCGCCGAUCUGCUCGGCGAGACUCGCAUCUCCGAUGAGCCUACGUCCGACGCAGGCACCGACUACCCCGAGAGCCGCCUCGUCAGCCUCCUCGACCAGCUUCACGUCUCCAGCGAGCCUGCUGCGGACAUGGAGUCGGUCGGCUCCACCGACCCGAUGCUCAUCGACUCCGACACCGCGUCGCUCGACGCCUACCCCACCGAGGUGGUGGUCUUCGAUGACCCCCUCCCUCGAGCUGACAGCGGCAGCAGCACUGUCACUGAAGUGCUGGUCAUCAGCCACGUCUCCAACUCGGGCGAGAACGCCCGCGACGCUCAGCAAGCGGCGAUGCACGACCUCUCCGUCCCCAUCCCGGCCGACGCCGACGCCGAGACCCUGGAGGCACGCCGCCUUGCCCUUAUCGCGGAGGGCAAGAAGAUAGCCUCGAUGAGACGCCUCACCGAGGCCCACCAGCGCGAAGUCGACCGCGCUGCCUUCGGCACGCCGCCACCUAGCGGCCCGAGCCGGGCCGGCUUCGUCCAGAAGCGCAGCGCGGCCGUUGCCAGCAUGCUGGGCGCAGAUCGCCCCGUCUACGCCACCCCGCUCGAGAAUCUGCGAGCCGCUCAGGCGGCUGCAGAGGAGCUCAAUGGGCUGGGAGCCGAUGAGCUCCCCUACAUGACAAGGCGGAUCCAGCAGCUGAUCGACGCGGCUGCAGAACGGCACGAAGCCGGCGCCCGUGCUGAUAGUCAUCCCCCGCGCCGGGAGCACGCCGCAACAUCCCGCUCGCCGACUGCGAGCGGCGCGCGCCAGAAGAAAGACAAGGAGCCGGCUGCCAGCCGCAGCCGGACUCGCAUCACUAUCGAGCGCGACGCGGAUGGCCGCCCUCGGGCGGUUGAACACCAAGGAAACCUGCCUCCUCCCCCGCCUCGAGGAGAAAGACGCCUCACUCCGCCGCCCAUCACGCAUCCGACUCUUGGCGACCGACUCGGCCGCCGAGAAGGAGUCGGCGAGAGUGACGCCCGCCAUAGGAUCGACCGCCUUGCUCGAUCCUUGGCGUUAGAAGAAGAAGACGAUGUCGGCCCGCCAUGCUUUGGCCCCCGCAUCUGCGACGAGCCCUUCCCCAAAGGGUUCUCGCUCCCUAGAGACACACCCAAGUACAACGGCUCAGUGAAGCCGGAAGAUUGGCUCAUCGACUACUCUACAGCCGUCAGCAUCGCCAACGGCAAUCGGCGCGUCGCCGUGAAGUACGUCCCCUUGAUGCUGCAAGGCACGGCGCGCAUGUGGCUCAACAGCCUCAAGCCCUACAGCAUCAACAGCUGGCUGGACUUCACCGAAGUUUUCGUCCACAACUUCACCAGCACCUACAAGCGGCCUCCCAAGCCUCGCCAGCUCUCCCUCUGCGUCCAAGGGCCCAACGAGUCGACCCGCGACUACCUCACGCGAUGGGCCGAGCUCCGCAACUCCUGCGAGGGAGUGCACGAGGUCCAGGCCAUCGAAUACUUCACCGCCGGGUGCCGAGAGGGCACCCUCCUCAAGCACCGACUCCUCUGCGACGAGCCGGCUACCCUCGAUGAGUUGUUGAUCACCGCCGACAAGUAUGCCACUGCCGACUCCUCCAUGAAGACCGAGCUCCGAGUGGACGCCUCGGGGAAAGUAGUUGCUCCGGCUCCCAAGACGCCGGCUGGCGACCCUAACCGGCGCCCCUACCAGAACGACCACAAGCGCAAGGGCCCCAUGCCGACUUCCUCCAGUCGGCAGGUGGCCACCAUUGAAGACGAGCAGCCCGAAGAGCGGCCCGCUCCCAAGAAGAAGGGUGGCCGGCCGCCCUGGCAGCCGUCCUUCUCCUACGAACAAGCACUCGAUGCUCCCUGCAACUUCCACAGCGGCGCGAAGCCGUCCAACCAUACGACACGGAAAUGCCACUGGCUCACCCGCAUCACCAAGGGCGAAGGGAUGGUGCCGCCUCCGCCUCCCGGCCCGCCGCCUCCAGCUCCCCAGCAGCCGGCGGCCCGGCCGGCGGUCGGUGCCAUCCAAGAUGAGUUCCCCGAAGCGCACGACGCCUACGUCGUCUUCACAAGCCAAGUCGACGACAAGCGCAGCCGACGCCGGCAGCACCAAGAAGUAAACGCAGUCGCCUCUAGCACCGCCGAGUUCAUGCACUGGUCGGAAAAGCCCAUCAGCUGGAGCCAAGCCAAUCACCCAGAGGUGAUGCCUUCGCCUGGCUCCUAUGCUAUGGUCUUGGACGUCACCCUUGCGACGGAGAGGCGAGCCGCCAGAUUUUCCCGCGUCCUGAUAGACGGCGGAAGCAGUAUCAACAUACUGUACCGCGACACCAUGGACAAGCUGAACAUCAAAGCGAAGCAGCUCAUGCCGAGCCGCACUGUCUUCCAUGGUAUCGUACCCGGCCUAUCUUGCUCUCCGAUCGGCAAGAUCAAAAUGGAUGUUCUCUUCAGAGACAAAGAUCACUUUCGCCGGGAAGCGAUAUGGUUCGAGGUGGUGGAUUUGGAGAGCCCCUAUCAUGCACUACUUGGCCGACCUGCUUUGGCCAAGUUCAUGGCUGUGCCCCACUAUGCCUACCUGAAGAUGAAGAUGCCGAGCUCGAAGGGGAUCAUCACGGUAGCCGGCGACUACAAGAAGUCCAUCGAGUGUGCCAUGGCCAGCAGCCGGCUGGCCGAGUCCCUCGUGGUGGCAGAAGAGAAGAAGAUGUUGGAACGGGUUGUGGCCAUGGCCGGAAAGCAGCCGGCCUUGUCCCCCAACCCCAAGGACUGUGAUGCACAGGGCUCCUUCCAGCCUGCGAAAGAGACAAAGAAGAUACCUCUAGACCCGGAGCACCCGGAGAGGUUCGCCGUGAUUGGGGCGAACUUGGACAGUAAAUAGGAAGGCGAGCUCGCCGACUUCCUCCGUGAGAAUCGAGACAUCUUUGCAUGGUCCCCAAAGGACAUGCCGGGUGUCCCGAAGGAUUUCGCCGAGCACAAAUUACAUGUCCGAGCUGAUGCGAAGCCGGUCAAGCAACCCCUCCGCCGACUAUCAGAAGAGAAGCGAAGAAUCGUAGGAGAAGAGAUAGCCCGGCUCCUUGCAGCCGGCUUCAUAAUGGAAGUGUUCUUUCCAGAAUGGCUUGCCAAUCCAGUUCUGGUUUUGAAGAAGAAUAACAAGUGGCGCAUGUGCAUAGACUACACAAGUUUGAACAAGGCCUGCCCAAAGGAUCCGUUUGCUUUGCCACUGAUUGACCAAGUGAUAGACUCCACAGCCGGAUGCGAGCUGUUAAGUUUUUUGGAUGCAUACUCAGGGUAUCAUCAGAUCAAGUUGGACCCGGCUGACCGCCUGAAGACUGCCUUCAUCACACCCUUUGGAGCUUUCUGCUACCUGACAAUGACAUUCGGCUUGAGAAACGCCGGUGCCACUUUUCAGCGUUGCGUGCAGAAAUGUCUCUUGAAACAACUCGGCAGAAAUGCCCACGUCUAUGUAGACGACAUUGUGGUGAAGACAGAGAAGCGCGGUACCUUGCUGGAAGACCUGAAGGAAACAUUUGCCAACUUGCGCCGAUUCCAGAUCAAGCUCAACCCCGAGAAGUGCGUGUUCGGAGUGCCAGCCGGCCAGCUGCUAGGCUUCCUGGUCUCCGAACGCGGCAUUGAGUGCAACCCUGUCAAGAUCAAAGCCAUCGAGAGGAUGGAGAUUCCCACCAAGCUACGAGAUGUGCAGAAGUUCACUGGCUGCUUAGCCUCCCUGAACCGUUUCAUCAGCCGACUAGGAGAGAAGGCUCUCCCCCUAUACCGACUCAUGAAGAAGUCCACUCACUUUGAGUGGAAUGAUCAAGCCGACCAAGCCUUCCAUGAGUUGAAGAAAAUGUUGACCACUCCGCCUGUCCUGGCUGCGCCGACUGAGAAGAAGCCCAUGCUCCUCUACAUCGCCGCGACAAGCCGAGUCGUCAGCACUGUUGUUGUGGUCCAGCGCCCGGAGGAAGGCCGAGCCCAGCUGGUCCAGAGGCCGGUCUACUAUCUCAGCGAAGUACUGUCCAGCUCAAAGCAAAAUUACCCGCACUACCAGAAGAUGUGCUAUGGGGUGUACUUCGCUGCCAAGAAAUUGAAGCCCUACUUUCAAGAGCACCCCAUCACGGUCGUGUGCACUGCCCCGCUUGCCGAGAUCAUAGGCAGCAGGGAUGCAUCCGGCCGGGUGGCCAAAUGGGCCAUUGCCUUGGCGCCCUACACGAUUUUCUAUCAACCCCGCACUGCCAUCAAGUCGCAAGCAUUGGCCGACUUCCUCGUCGACUGGGCCGAGACCCAGUACUUACCGCCGGCUCCCGACUCCACCCAUUGGCGGAUGCACUUUGACGGGUCCAAGAUGCGCACCGGCUUGGGAGCCGGCAUCGUCCUCACCUCUCCCAAAGGCGACAAGCUCAAGUACACGCUGCAGAUCCACUUCGCCGCCUCCAACAACGUGGCCGAGUACGAGGCGCUCGUACAUGGGCUCCGGCUAGCCAAAGAACUCGGCAUACGCCGGAUCCUGUGCUACGGCGACUCAGACUUGGUGGUCCAGCAAUCAUCUGGCGACUGGGACGCCAAGGACGCAAACAUGGCAAGCUACCGUUUCCUCGUCCAGCAGAUGAGCGGAUACUUCGAAGUGUGCGAGUUCCUUCACGUGCCAAGGGCCGACAACGACCAAGCAGAUGCCCUAGCACGGAUCGGCUCCACCCGACAAGCCAUACCGACUGGCGUCUCCCUCCAGCGCCUCCUCAAGCCGUCCAUCAAGCCGUCUCCAGAGUCAGAUUCCAUCUUCGUACCGCCUGCACCAGAAACAGCCGGAUCCGGCUCAAGAAAUCCCGCAGGCGGCACGAGGACUUCGACGACUGCCCUGGGGACUGACGUAGUCGCACCCGGCCCAAGGACUUCAGAACCCGGCCCAGGGACUGCAGCAGUCGGCCCGGGGACUGCAACGACACAAGAAGCGAUGGUCGACUCCAAUGCAACACCCAACCCACCCACCCGAGUCAUGGUGGCCACAUUAACAGCAGAAGAAGUCACAGCUCCCUCAUGGGCCCAGCCCAUCCUCAAGUUCCUAGUCAGCAGAGAGCUGCCGGCUGAUGAGAUCGCAGCAAGACUAGUGCAACGACGAGCCGCAGCAUACACAAUAAUCAACAGGGAGCUUGUGAAGCGCAGCGUCACUGGAGUCUUCCAGCGUUGCGUCGAGCCAGAAAAAGGAGUGGCAAUCCUCAAAGACAUCCACCAAGGCGAAUGCGGCCACCACGCCGCCUCAAGAUCCCUCGUGGCCAAGGCUUUCCGCCAUGGGUUCUUCUGGCCGACUGCCUUGGAGGAUGCUAAAGAAAUAGUCAAGAGCUGCAGAGGAUGUCAAGUCUUCAGUUCCAAACAACACCUGCCGGCUUCUGCCCUCAAGACCAUUCCCCUCACCUGGCCUUUUGCCGUCUGGGGACUGGACAUGGUGGGCCCUUUCAAGACAGCCCGCGGUGGCUUGACACAUCUACUCGUUACUGUGGACAAGUUCACAAAGUGGAUUGAAGCCAAGCCAAUUAAGAAGCUGAACGGGCCGACUGCCGUGACAUUCAGCACCGACAUCACUACUCGGUACGGCGUGCCGCACAGCAUCAUCACCGACAACGGCACGAACUUCGCCAAAGGCGCACUGGCACGUUUCUGCGCGACACAGGGCAUCCGACUGGACUUAGCGUCCGUUGCCCACCCGCAGUCAAACGGCCAGGUCGAGCGAGCAAAUGGACUUAUCCUCUCCGGCAUCAAGCCCCGACUGGUUGUACCACUGGAGCGAUCGGCCGGCUGCUGGCUCGAAGAGCUGCCGGCUGUCCUCUGGAGUCUGCGCACUACACCCAACAAGUCAACCGGCUUCACUCCAUUCUUCCUUGUGUACGGUGCCGAGGCUGUCAUCCCAACAGACAUCGAGUUCGACUCGCCUCGGAUCACCAUGUACACGGAGGAGGAAGCCAAAGAAGCAAGAGAAGACGGCGUCGACCUACUGGAAGAAGGCCGGCUGUUAGCCCUCAGCCGGUCCGCCAUCUACCAGCAAGGCCUGCGCCGCUACUACAACCGCAAGGUCAAGCCAAGAUCCUUCCAAGAGGGCGACCUUGUGCUCCGGCUGAUCCAACGAACAGCCGGCCAGCACAAGCUCUCGGCCCCUUGGGAAGGCCCCUUCGUCGUCAGCAAGGCACUCGGCAACGACUCCUACUACUUGAUCGACGCGCAAAAGCCAAGAGCACGCAAGAGAGACGACUCCGGCAAGGAGUCGGAGCGACCAUGGAACGCAAACCUCCUAAGACGAUUUUACAGCUGAAAAGCAGUAUGUAUCACGCUACCCCUUUUGUAUUAAGUUACAAACCAACAGGCCCCCCGAACAGUACUCGGGGACUGCCUUUUAUUUAUCUAUGAAUGACGAGUGUCAUAUCCAUGAAUGUAUUAUUACAUUUUGAAUUCUUGUCCGGCACCGGGUCCGACUAGUCGGCCCGGGGACUGGCCGCCUUGAGCUAUAUUCUACGUUCUUCCCGAAGUCAGCAAAGUAGUGCGCCGGCUCCCAAGUCCUCUCUUGUUGAAAGUCGCAGCUCAAAGAACUGACUGUCCGACUAGCAAGAGAGAAGACAGAAAGGACGCCCACACGAAAAACGGCUAAGGAACAACUAACCUAUAUAGCAGAAAGAUGGCCUCCAUACAUGCCUGCCGGCUGUCACAGCAGCCGGCUGGCCGGCUUCCUAAAAAACUUAGCUUAAGUCCGGGAAAGCUAAAAGUACCUCCCCCUCCCCAAUCGGCCAGGCACUCCCCGGCUACGGAUUGCAGAGCAACUGUUUGACUAGGGAGGCGGCAACCAAGGGAGGGCGGCAAAGGAAAAAAGCAGAAGGACAAAAAAGCGAAAGAACAAGGAAAGACCGAUUGCAUAACUUAUAUACAUAAAGCCGCCCACAGGCCGGCAACAGACUUAAGUUUGAAUACACCCAGUGGGUGGAACUGUGCAGACUUAACCAAAUAUUGUUCAAAAGUAACAAGACAGGAAAGCAAAAGAAAGAAGACUAAGGCGUGACUUGGAGGCCGAGCUGGUCGGUGAAGGCAGCUCGCCGGCUGAAGGAGUGGCCGCCUAGCUGGUCCCGGCUUGACCACCUCCCGCGGCAGGAGACGCACUCGCACGCGACGUAGUGCUGGAGGCGCGGUCAGGCUGGCCGGCUACUCCACCAGCCGGCUCGGCGUCUUCACCCUCCUCCUCCUCCUCUUCGCCCUCGUCGCUGGAGUCGAUCUCCUCCGCCGAGUCCUUGCCGUACGCCGGGUCCAGCCCGAACCAAUCUUCCGGCUGGGCGACUUCAUCGCCAUCCACCUCGGGGGCGAAGACACUGGUGUCGGUGUAGUCGGCGAUCGCCGAAGCCCGCCGAAUGAUGGCCGGCCGCACCGGCUCCAGCUCUGCGUCGGCUUGCUGCCGCCAGGUCGCCAGCUGGUCCAGGUUCAGGCCGGGAUACCAGGCCUUGACGAACUCCAGCGCCCGCCUGGCGCCGGAGCGAGCCGCUGACGCCUUCCAAGCCUCGAAGCGGCCGACGGCCACCUCCAGCCAGUCGGCGGUCCGACUGGGAGUGCGCGGGACCACUUGGCCAGGCCAGAGGGCGGCCAAGACCUGCGACCCGGCACGCUGAAGCCGGUGGAGUAGCCUGUGAGCCGGCUGGAUACGAGCCUGGAUCGCCAGGAGCUGCUUCUCCAGCGAGCGGCCGGCGGUGGGCGAGAUCUCGAAGCCGGCUUGCCUCUUCGCCUGGCGACGAGCUUCGAUGGCCUGGUUGGCAGCAGUUGAGUAGCCAGGGAAGUACUCUGCGCGAAGGAGAAAAGGAAAGAAGAACACCAAAAUCAGAAAAACAAGCCGAAGUGGCAGAUCGCUAGAAAGGAUGAAGGGGUAGACGACUUACCGUCAACCAGGUCCUCAAUCUGGCCAUAGCCGGAGACCAGAGUCUGCCUGGCCUCUGCCCAGCCGACCGCCUCCGUCUCGAACUCGGCCUGGAGGGUGGCUUCGCGAUCCUGCGCAGCCUUCAGCGCCGCCUGGUGGCUUUCCUCCUGGUCGGCCAGCUUCUUGACCAGGCGGUCGCGCUCCUGCACCAAGGCGGCGAGCUCCGCGUCCUUGGCACGAAGAGCAGUCUGGGACUCCCCCAGCUGUGCCCUCAGACCGGCGUUGGCUGCUGCAGAGAUAGAAGAAGAAGAAGAAUAAUAAUGAGAAAUCAUCAAGGAAGAUCCGAGCCGACUGCUCAGCAGUCGGCCCGAAUCUCGGGGACUACACCCAGUGGGUGCGCUGACGCGCCCCCACAUGAGAUAAAGAUCAAGUCACAUACCUCGGCUUUCAGUGAGAUCGGCGGUCUUCUGAGUCAGCUCCCGAGCCUGGGAGUUGAAGGCGGCCGCUAGGAGGUUGUGGUAGUCCUGCAAGACGGACAGAAGACCGAAGUGAGAACAAAGCAGCAAAAACAAAAUCUCCAAGAAGUUCCAAGCCGCCUGCUCAGCAGCCGACUCGGAACUCGGGGACUACACCCAGUGGGUGCGCUGACGCGCCCCCACGAGAGAAAUCAAGAUCAAGAAAGAACAAGAUGAGAAUACUAACCCGGAUGGCUGCCCGCGUGGCGAGGAAUUCGUCGGUGAACUGCCUCAGCGCCGCGGCUUGACCUUGCAGCCGGGUCCGGACGUCUUGUGCAGCAACGUUCACCACGGUUGUCCCUCCGCCCGGCGUCCACCCCGAGGUAGCGCUAGCCGCCUCCGUGUCUCGGGCCGACGAACUGGAGCCCACGGCCGGCUGUGGCUCAGACGCAGCCUUCUGCGGUUCAGACGCGGCCCUCCCUGCACGCCGGCUUGGUGGAACCCGGACCGCCACCUCAGCUCCCGCGGCCGGCUCGCCCUCCGUCGACUGUGCGGGCGCAGGCUCAGGCUGGCGGCCUUGGGUCGCCCUAGUCGGAGGAGUCGGCCCCGGCGCCUCCCCCAAGAUGACGACGUCGUCACCGCUUCCUCCCAGCCCCGGCUGGGAACCGCUGACUCCCCCUGGCGAGGGAUCCACGUCCCCAGGCGCCAUGGUGCGCAGGGGGGUGACCAUCAAGGCCUCCCCUGCCGUCGCUUCGGCCCCGGCCUCUGCCUGGGCCUUGGCUGCGGCCUCGGCAAGCGCCUUCGCCGCCUCCUCCUCCCGAGCUGCCUGGGCGGCGGCUGCCCUCCGUGCCUCCGCCUCCCGCGCUUCCUGCUCCUCCCGCGCCUCCCGCGUGUUCCUUUCCGUCGCCUCCAGGAGGGCGGCGCGGGGAUCUACGCGGCGGGUGGUGCUCCCAGAGCCCCCCGGCGACUCGAUGACGGAGCCGGCGGCCGCCCGCUCAAGUGAUAGUGGAGCUCUAACCAUUGAAAAAGAAGACAAAGAUUCAAGAACCACCAAAGGAAAGAAAGAAGGACAGUACACCGAAAGAAAAAACUUACGCCGACACGGUCUGCGGCUGCUUCACCACCUUGCGGAAGCGAGCCGCCUUCGCGGCCGCCUCUUCCCGCCUGGUGGCCGCCGCCCCACCCCUGGGCUUCUUCGUCCGGCUACCGAACAUGCCCUGGGUGGCGCGACGUUUCUGGCCUCUACCCCAAGCAGGCUACGCGCCGGAGGAGCCCGCGCCACGUCCGGAUACCGGCUGGCGAUGUGGGACGGCUUCGGCUUCGUCCUCGUCCGGCCAGUCGUCGAAGGUAGCGGUGAACCCGGAGCCGCCUGCUUCCCCGCCGGCCGGCUCGGCGGCAUCCUCCAUAUGGACCGCCCCCAGGUCGGGGUCAUCCUGGUCAUGUUCGGUCCGGUCGGGGACGAAGUGGCGCUCCACGUCUGCCCCGCCGGCCGGCCGGAGCAGAGGACUCUGUCAAAAGAGCAAGCCGACUGAAUUAGAGUCGGCCCAGAGGAACUCGGCGACAAAGCUGAGAGAGAGAAAGAGAAAAGAGACAAGGGGAGCGUACCGUAGGCGGAGGAUUGGCGCGGCUGUAUGGCUCCUUGCCAAAUUGCCAGUCUUCGGAAAGCUGGCAGUUGGCGAGGUAAUUCACCAUGUCGGCGGCGUCGGGCUGCGGCAUCUCCUUGGUACACAUCCGGCUCGGAUCGAGCUGGCCGCUCAUCUGACAGAUCAGAUGAGGCCGGCUCUGGAGCGGAAGGACCCGGCGCGUGACGAACGCGGCCAGGAGGUCGGGCCCCGUCAGGCCCUCCGACUGGACCAUCACCCGCAGGCGGGCGAUGGCAGCGUUUCCUCCUUGCGACAGCGUCACCGCCCGGAAGGACCACUGGGGCAGCCUCCCCGCCGGUGGGCCGGCUACGUAAGCCGGCAGGUUGAUGUAGUCGCCCCGUGGAGCGAUGUUCCGCACGUAGAAGUACGACUUCUGCCACUUCUUCACCGAUUGGAUCAGCGUGAUGACGGGGAAGGGGUUGUCGGCGCCCGAUCUCCGCGACGCGAUGAAGGCGCCAGUAUGAGCCGGCACGCCUUUACUGCGCGUGCCCAGCUUCGACUGGAAGAAAUCCCCCCAGAGCUCGAGGGUGGGGAGGACGCCAAGAUAGCCCUCGCACAGGGUGACGAAGGCCGACAGCAGCACCACCGCGUUGGGGGUGAGGUGGUGCGGCUGGAGCUGAUAGAAGUCUAGCCAGGAGCGAAAGAAGGCGCUCACUGGCAGGCCGAAGCCGCGCAGGAAGUGCGAGCGGAAGACAACCCGCUCGCCAUCCCGCGGUGCCGGCCUGAUUUCCUUCUCCGGCGCGAGGCGGACCUCCACUUUGUCCGCGUUGGGCAGACGCCGGGUGUCGCGGAGGAAGUCGAUGUGGUCGUUGUGGACGAUGGAGCCAUCCCAAUCCCCGCCAAGCUGCUCUACGUGGGGAGGCAUAGCGGAAGCUAGCACGGCGGCGGAGGAGCGUGCGGAGGAAGAGCGCGGCGGCGAGGCGCUGUCGCAAGAACGAGCAAGGCGAGAAGACGAAGGAAGUAGGAGGAGCGUGCGAGGGUCUGCCGCCCUCCACCUCCCCCUACUUAUAGCCUCACGCGGCCGAAGAGGCGGGACGUGGGGGGAGACGUGGGAUUAACUGCGCCCACUCCCCCCACGUCUCGCGUUUAUUACGCAUAAGUGCGAGCCGAAACUGCCGCACGGAACGUGCUGGCGGUUUCGGGAUACAAAGGAUCCGCGCCUCGGCCGGGGCGCGGACGUGGCGGGCCCCCUUCCUGCGGCGAUGUCUCGUCACGCGCGUGGGCUGGCAGGCUUUCCAGCCACGUGGCACGCCGACGGCCCGAGGCCGGCCCGCGGCCCGGCGCACGUCCCUGCGGGUUCCCGCCCCCCGACUCCAGAAGAAUUCGACUAAGGCGGCGCGCCUGACCAAGGCCGGCUCCCAGCUGCCGGCUCGUCACGAUAGGAAGCUGAUCAAGCUUCUUGAACCCCACUCCGCCUCGAAGCCCAACCAGCUUCGGGGACUACUGUCGGAGAAAAUGGCCACGGGUAGCCUAACCGACUACCCCUGGCUCUUCAGGAAAUUUAUCAGGCCUUUGGGCCUUCAAGCACUCCAAGUAUUUGGGCCGCCUUCCCCGGCCGGCUACCACUAAAGCCGACUCCCGGAAGGCGACCCAGCCUCACCGACUCCUCCCAAGGACGACUGGGGGUGGCCGACUCCAAGAAGCCGGCCAAGAAGGACGCCGACUCCAAGGAGCCGGCGAAGACCACAACCACUCCAACAUAACGGCGACGUGACGGGGUAUGGCCACAGUGCGGCCCACGACCCCCGAAGCCCGAGGCGGGCAUGGCUACAGGAGGCCGUACGGGAGGGACGUCUCCCGUGCGGCUCGGCACUGUAGCCACGCUAGCCUCGACGUCAUCCACGACCCACUCCUGUACGGCCCAAGGACUGCGGGCCCCUUCAGCCAGAGAGAGGCAUGAAGGCGGCCCGGCUUUUCCUAGUCGGCCAAGAGUGUAGCCGGCCUCCAGAAGCCGGCUACCCCCUUCCUCGAAGCAAGAGCCCCAUUAAGGAGACAAGACGAGGUGAGGCUACAGUGAUAGCCCCCGAGGCGGCCCACUGUAGCCACGCUCACCUCGACAAAGCCCUCAUCAUCAGAGGCGCGGCUACAGUAAGCAGCCGCCGACAAGACCCUAAGCGGUGGGACCGGCCUGUCGACCAAGUAGCCGGCAGCCGGCGGGACCCACCAGCCGGCGGGACCCAGCCGCCGGCGGAGAAGCCGGCGAGCGUAGACACUGACGGCUGGGGCCAGUUCCCAAUCAGAUUACCAUUGUACCCCCGGGGGGUAAGCCUAUAUAAACCCCCCGGAGCACCCAUGCAAAGGGUUCGCACCUCUGCAUGUUUGGCUUCCAAGCAUAGCACACACACACACCAUAGAUAGAGAGAAGCAAGAGCUAGCCUUGUUCUUCUUCUCCCUUGAUCCCAACAGCUCUAGGAGCGAUUGUAGCUACCCUUUAUCGAUCUAGUGAUCAUGCAGAGACCCCGCAGAGCAGGACUAGGGGUGUUAUCUCCUCGGAGAGCCCCGAACCUGGGUAAGAUUCGCCGGCGUGCAUGUCUUCGCCUCAUCCCGUUUUCAGGCACCGGCGACGUUUUAUUGGCUCCCACAAUGAUAAGCCAUCCCUUGGCAUAUGUCGCACCAACCACCCGACAGCGUGGUACUAAUACUGCUACCUCAUCGGGACUGGGACAGAGGCCGAAUUGCUAAUCGAGCUCUUGACGAGCCGAGCUGUCCUGUUGUAGUGUGGUCCGGACCCUCUUAGUGAUUUCCAGGGGCUCGGCAGCCGGAUUAUAGUUCUGCUUGAGAAGGCCGCUUUGUACCUCUGCUGCUAGGGCGGCUGUGUGCUCCUCUGUACGGAGGGAGCAUUCGGUGUUUCCAUUGACUGUUAUGACACCGCGUGGACCGGGCAUCUUGAGCUUGACAUAAGCAUAGUGUGGCACCGCGUUGAAUCUUGCAAAUGCAGUUCGUCCGAGCAGUGCGUGGUAGCCGCUGCGGAAGGGGACGAUAUCAAAGAUUAGCUCUUCGCUUCGGAAGUUGUCCGGGUAACUGAAGACCACUUCCAGCGUGAUUGAGCCCGUACAACGGGCCUCUACGCCUGGUAUGACUCCUUUAAAGGUAGUCUUUGUGGGUUUGAUUCGUGAGGGAUCAAUGCCCAUUUUGCGCACAGUAUCCUGAUAGAGCAGGUUGAGGCUGCUACCACCGUCCAUUAGGACUCGUGUCAGGUGAAAUCCGUCAAUGAUUGGGUCGAGGACCAGUGCGGCCGAACCGCCAUGACGGAUGCUAGUUGGGUGAUCUCGAUGAUCAAAGGUGAUCGGGAAUGAUGACCAUGGGUUAAAUUUUGGGGCGACUGGCUCCACCGCAUAGACGUCCCUGAGUGCGCACUUGCGCUUCCUUUUGGGGAUGUGUGUAGCAUAUAUCAUGUUCACCGUUUUGACUUGAGGGGGAAAUUUCUUCUGCCCACCAGUGUUCGGCUGCCGGGGCUCUUCGUCAUUGUCCUCGCUUUGUGAUCCCUUUUCCUUGUUCUCGGCAUUUAGCUUGCCAGCCUAUUUAAAAACCCAACAAUCUCUGUUGGUAUGAUUGGCUAGUUUGUCUGGGGUGCCAUGUAUCUGGCACGGACGGUCGAGUAUGCGGUCCAAGCUGGAUGGUCCCUCACUGUUCCUUUUGUAGGGAUUCUUCCGCUGGCCAAACUUGCAGCUGCUGAAUCCGGCGUUAACUGUAGUGUCAUCGGUGUUAUCGCCAUUGCUUCGACAUUUGUGUCUAUUGCGCCGGAGCUUGCCGGUGCUGUUCUUGGCCUCGGAGGGCCCUGCUUUGCUGCCUGUGUUUUUGCUACGAGCCAGCCAGCUAUCCUCACCCGCGCAAAAGCGGGUCAUGAGUGCUGUGAGGGCUGCCAUGGAUUUCGGCUUUUCUUAGCCGAGGUGGCGGACGAGCGAUUCGUCACGGAUGCUGUGUUUGAAGGCCGCUAGGGCUUCAGCAUCCGGACAGUCAAUGAUCUGGUUCUUUUUGGUUAGGAACCUAGUCCAGAAUUUUCUGGCUGAUUCUCCAGGUUGUUGAACUAUAUGACUUAAGUCAUCGGCGUCUGGUGGCCGGACAUAAGUACCUUGGAAGUUGUCAAGAAAAGCUUCUUCCAAGUCCACCCAGCUGCCGAUGGAAUUUUCAGGCAGGCUAUUUAACCAGUGUCUAGCUGGCCCUUUUAGUUUUAGUGGGAGGUAUUCGAUGGCGUGGAGAUCGUCUCCUCGGGCCAUAUGGAUGUGGAGAAUAAAAUCCUCGAUCCAUACCGCGGGAUCGGUUGUUCUGUCGUAUGAUUCAAUAUUGAAGGGCUUGAACCCCUCGGGGAAUUCAUGAUCCACUACUUCAUCUGUGAAGCAAAGAGGGUGUGUGGCGCCUCUAUAUCGGGCCGCGUCGCGGCGUACCUCCGAUGAAGUCCGCCUGCGGUUAUCGGCCCGGGCGUGACUAGGUUUGCCACGUCCGAAUAGGUAGCUGUCAUCGCGAGUCGAAAAGCAUCCUCGCGAUCCGUAGAUUGAUCUGGUGUGUCCUGCUCUACUGUCCAGGUCCUGCCGAAGGUCGUAUCUAUAGUCCCGAGCUGUUUUGUCUCUGUUUUAUGAGGCGGUGGGGCGGGCUGCUGUUCGGUCUGAGUUGUCGUUUUAUCUCAACCGCGGGGUGGUCGGUCCGCCGCACUAUCCCGACCACGUGGUGGUUGUUCCGCAUUGCGCGAGGGAGGUAUGGGCUCCGGCGCCUCCUCAUCGAACUGAGGUAGCAGUCUGCGCUUCGGGUAACUCUUGGCUGGACGCUUGAGGUCGUAUUCUUCGGCUGCCAGGACAUCAGUCCAUCUGUCAAUGAGUAGGUCUGGAUCAGCUUGGAGCUGCUACUGCUUUUUCUUCAGGCUUCUUGCAGUAGCUAUUAGUUGGCGCUUGAAGUGCUCCUGCUUGAGGGGUGCCUCAGGCACGAUGAAAUCCUCGUUGCCGAGGCUCUCAUCAUCCGCGGAGAGUGGACGGUAACUAUCGUCAUCCGGGUCGUUGGGCAUGGCCUAUUUAUCAGGGUUAACUUGCCUGUUGUCUUGUUCCUCCUGUUCGGAUGUUACUCCAACAGGGUCUUCAUUGUUUUCGGCGUCGUCCGGAGUACUAUUUUCUCUGGUGCCAGUGUUGCUAUCUUUUGAGCGACGUGACAUAGAACGGCGUUUAGGGCGCCGGCGCUUGGACUGUGUCUCAGGAGGUUUAUGCGCAACUGGGUCUUCUUUGUCAUUGUCGCUAGCUUUUUUAGGUGUGUCAACCAUGUACACAUUGUACGAAGAGGUGGCCGUCCAAUGUUCAGUGAAUGGCGGGUCUUGGCCUUGCUCCUUGUUGGCAUCGUCGUCCAUACCGUCGAUGUCUUAGAGCCAUGAUAGAGCACGUCGGUUAAGUCCUCGACAGUGGCUAUGAAGUGGGUGGCGGGUGGGAAGCGAAAUUCUCCAUCACCAGCCUCUAGUUCGAGCCGGACAUAGCUCGGCUGUGGGUCCCCCGCCAAGGACAGGUUUUUUAAUGAAUUUAGCACAUCACCCAAGGGCGAGUGUUGGAAGACGUCUGCGGCGCUGGACUCGAAGUUCGAUGACCGAUCCAGCUCGAUGUCCGCAGGUGUACGUGGUUCGGAACUUAUGGCCGGAAACGAGUCCGGAAUUCCGUUGAGGCAGAUAUUGCUAGGUGCUGAGUCUAUGUGCGGCUCCAACGCCGCGGAUUCUGUGGCUUCGGAUGGCGCGAUCUGCUCCGGAUCGAAGGUCGUAGCAGUUAUAGGAACCAUCUUCUGAAUAUGGUCCGAUGACAGAUUUAAGUCAUGCUCAUCGGUGCGAGUGGGAGCGAUCGCCGCGGUCACAAAUCCAUUGAAGAUCAAGUCUCCACGGAUAUCCGCAACGUAGUUCAAGCUUCCAAAUCUGACCUGGUGGCCAGGGGAGUAGCUAUCGAUCUGCUCCAGAUGGCCAAGCGAGUUGGCCCGCAGUAUGAAGCCGCCGAAUACGAAAAUCUGUCUGGGGAGGAGGGUUUCUCCUUGGACAGCAUCACUAUAGACGAUCAAAGGGGCCAUCGAACCUUUUGUCGCCGGCACAGUGGAACUCUCAAUGAAAGCACCAAUGUCGGUGUCAAAACCGGCGGAUCUCGGGUAGGGGGUCCCGAACUGUGCGUCUAAGGUCGAUGGUUACAGGAGACAGGGGACACGAUGUUUACCCAGGUUCGGGCCCUCUCUAUGGAGGUAAUACCCUACUUCCUGCUUGAUUGAUCUUGAUGAAUAUGAGUAUUACAAGAGUUGAUCUACCACAAGAUCGUAAUGGCUAAACCCUAGAAGCCUAGCCUGUAUGACUAUGGUAAUGAGUAUAUCCUUUCCGGACUAAACCCUCCAGUUUAUAUAGACACCAUGGGGUGGAUCUAGGGUUACAUAGAGUCGGUUACAUAAGAUGGAAUCUUCAUAGUUGGUCGCCAAGCUUGCCUUCCACGCCAAGGAGAGUCCAAUCCGGACACGGGUACAGUCUUCGGCCUUCGCGUCUUCACAGCCCAUCAGUCCGGCCCAUGGAUAACAGGCCAGACCCCCGAGGACCCCUUAGUCCAGGACUCCCUCAGAUGGCCCAGAUGACGCUACUAGGCCUAAUUCCGGUAGGCCGUAACGGUCCGUGAGUUAGCGGGCUGUAAAUGGGCUAUAUGCGAACAUGCCGUUAACAGGCUUUCCGUGGGCCGGCCCGCCACAUUUUGACCAAGUCAAACGGGUCGGCCUUUUCACAGGAAUGGGCCUCUGUUGGGUCGUGCCACAUGUCAACGUAUCAUAGGCACCUUGGGUCCAAUGAGUGGAUGACAUCUGUCCCAACGGUGAGCCGACACGUGCUUCCUCCAGCCAAUGAUGAUUUUACACGUGGAAAAUCCCCAUUGGUCGGGGCUGUUAACGGGUUAUCGGAUCCAAAACCGGACCCGAUAGCUUAACGGCGUUCCGUUACGGUGGAUGCCACGUGUCGGUCACCCUUGAUGAAAGCAAUUCUGUGACGCGCGAUUUAUCGUCAUGGAAGUGGACACUUCCGUGAUGAUAAUUUUGGUAAUGUCAUGGAACACUUCUACAACAUCACAGGUAUGACUAUCUUGAUUCUGUCAUAAAAUCGUCAUGGAUGUACAUGCAUGACAAAAAACGCGACCUACUAUGACAAACACGUAUCAUCACGGAAGUGUAUUUUUUUUGUAGUGAAGCACCAUGUUCAAGUAGGGAUUACAGCGGGGUGCGGGAGAGUGGACCGCGUAAAAGGAUGAGGAUGGUGAUGAUGAUGGUGAUGUUGAUGAAGACGAUUGAUAAUCCCCAAGUGCAGGGAAUCAUCGUAGCAAUUUCCAAAGGUGGAAGUGAUAAGUAUGGAGUGUCGAACCCACAAGGAGCUAAAGGUAAGAUCAAUAUUCUCUCAAGCCCUAUCUGCCACUGAUACGACUCUACGUACACCGAACGUUUGCUUCCAACUAGAAACGAGAAAUAAAACUACGUUGUGGGUAUGAAGAGGAUAAUUUUGCAUGGUAUCGGAGAGCUAAAAUAUAAAAGUAGGUGAUGUUAUCAUAAAGUUAGAUUAUAUUACUAAAUAUUAUAAAUAGCAAGUGUGGAAUAAUGAUGGGUCGGUGUGCGGAAUUGUCCUAGGCAAUUGUUAACAAGACCGGUAGUUGUCAUUGCAAUUUCAUAUGAGGGAGAGGCAUAAGCUAACAUACUUUCUCCACUUGGAUCAUAUGCACUUAUGAUUGGAACUCUAGCAAGCAUCCGCAACUACUAAAGAUCAUUAAGGUAAAACCCAAGCAUAGCAUUAAAGCAUCAAGUCCUCUUUAUUCCCAUACGCAACAACCCCCUUACUCGGGUUUGUGUUUCAGUCACUCACCAACCCACUAUAAGAGAAUCAUGAACGUAUUGCAACACCCUACAGCGGGAAUCCCUCACGCUUGCGCGACACGGAGGGCACCAUAGGACAGCACCAAAAUAAAACAUACAACUCGUACCAAUCUAGAUCAUCAAUCAACCCAAAGACAAAGGAUAUCUACUCAAAACAUCAUAAGAUGGCAACACAUCAUUGGAUCAUAAUAUGUGGCAUAAAGCACCAUGUUCAAGUAGGGAUUACAGCGGGGUGCGGGAGAGUGGACCGCGUAAAAGAGAUGAGGAUGGUGAUGAUGAUGGUGAUGUUGAUGAAGAGGAUCACCGCGGCGAUGAUUCCCCUCCGAUGGCACUCCGGCGCCACCGAGAGAGAGGAGGAGAGGUUCUCCCCCUUGUGCUUCCUCCUUCAUGGCCUUCCCCCUAGAUGGGGAGAGGUUCUCCCUCUGGUCCUUGGCCUUCAUGGCGAUGAUGGCCUCUCCGGGAUCCUCCUCCAUGGCCACCGGUGAUGAUUGCCCCCUCCGGCAGGGUGCCAGAGAGGGCCUAGAUUGAUUUCUCGUGGCUACAGAGGCUUGCGGCGGCGGAACUUACGAUCUAGGUUAAUUCCCGAAGGUUUCUGUAUAUAUAAGAGGUUUUGGCGUCGAGAACAAGUCAGGGGGUCUCCGGGUUGUCCACGAGGUAGGGGGCGCGCCCAGGGGGGUGGGCGCGCCUCCCACCCUCGUGGGCAGCCCGGGACUCUUCUGGCCCAACUCUUUUACUCCAUGGCCUUCUUCUGGUCCAAAAAUAAGAUCCAUCAAGUUUCAGGUCAAUUGGACUCCGUUUGGUUUUCCUUUUCUGCCAUAUUCUAAAACAAGGAAAAAGCAGAAACUGGCACUGGGCUCUAGGUUAAUAGGUUAGUCCCAAAAACCAUAUAAAAUAGCAUAUAAAUGCAUAUAAAACAUCCAAGGUUGAUAAUAUAAUAGCAUGAAUACUUCAUAAAUUAUAGAUACGUUGGAGGCGUAUCAAUGAUCACCGCGACGAUGAUUCCCCUCCCGAUGGCACUCCAGCGCCACCAAGAGAGAGGAGGAGAGGUUCCCCCUUGUGCUUUCUCCUUCAUGGCCUCCCCCUGGAUGGGGAGAGGUUCUCCCUGUAGAUCUUGUCCUUCAUGGCGAUGAUGGCCCCUCCGGGAUCCUUCUCCAUGGCCUGCGGUGAUGAUGGCCCCCUCCGGCAGGGUGCCAGAGAGGGCCUAGAUUGAUUUCUCGUGUGUACAGAGGCUUGCGGCAGCGGAACUUCCGAUCUAGGUUAUUUUCUGGAGGUUUGGAUAUUUAAAGGAGAGGUUGGCAUCAAUAACAAGUCAGGGGGGCCCACGUGAAGUCCACGAGGCACAGGGGCAUGCCCUAGGGGGUGGGGGUGCCCUCCACCCUCGUGGAGCCCACGGGACUCCCCUUCGGUAACUCUUCGUUCCAGUAUUUUUUAUAUUUUCUAGAAAAAUUCUCCGUUGAUUUUCAUCGCAUUCCGAGAACUUUUAUUUCUGCACAAAAACAACACCACAGUAGUUCUGCUGAAAACAGCGUCAGUCCGGGUUAGUUCUAAUCAAAUCAUACCAAAAUCAUAUAAAACUAUUGUAAACAUGGCACGAAUAAUUCAUAAAUUAUAGAUACGUUGGAGACGUAUCAGCAUCCCCAAGCUUAAUUCCUGCUCGUCCUCCAGUAGGUAAAUGAUAAAAGAAAUAAUUUAUGAAGUGUGAAUGCUAGUAAGUGCAUAAGUUUGAUCAAUGAUAGUUCCAAUCAAUUUUUCUAGCAUCAUUAUACAUCAUAACAGUAGCUCAACUCAUAAAACUUCUCAUGAUCAAGUAACAAGCUAUUCACAUGUUAAAGUAUAGAUCAUAAACUUUCUUGAAAACUAACAAACCGUGCUCUUAGUCAUCAAACAAUUGCAAUUCAUCUUAUUUUCGGGAAGGGUCUAUGUAAGAGCUUUGAUUCAGCAAACUCCACAUACUCAACUAUCAUUUAAUCUUUCACAAUUGCUAACCCUCAUGUGAUAUUUAUGGGUUCAAAGUUUUAAUCAGGCACAGAGAAAGAUAGGGGCUUAUAGUUUCGCCUCCCAACCUUUUACCUCAAGGGUAAUGUCAACAAUAAUAAUUUAUGAAAACCUACAUCCAAGUGGUUAUAUAUAUCCGGAUCGCUCCAACACAAAGUGCUUGCCGAAGGAAAAAGUGUAAAAAGGAAAGGUGAUGAUCCCCAUGAGUCUUGUAUAAGGGUAGAAGAUAAAAGUAAAAGAUAGGCCCUUCGUAGAGGGAAGCAGAGGUUGUCAUGCGCUUUUAUGGUUGGAUGCACAAAAUGUUAAUGCAAAAAAAUGUCACUUUAUAUUGCCGCUUGUGAUAAAGACCUUUAUUAUGCAGUCCAUCGCUUUUAUUUCUUCCCUAUCACAAGUUCAUAUAAAGCUUAUUUUCUUCGCACUAAUAGAUCAUACAUAUUUAAGGAGCAAUUUUUUAUUGCAUGCACCGAUGACAACUUACUUGAAGGAUCUUACUCAAUCCAUAGGUAGGUAUGGUGGAAUCUCAUGGCAAAACUGGGUUAAUGAAUGUUUGGAAGCACAAGUAGUAUCUCUACUUGGUGCAAAGAAUUUGGCUAGCAUGAGAGGGAAAGGCAAGCUCAACAUGUUGGAUGAUCCAAGACAAUAUAACAUUUUGGAUAUAGGAAAACAUAACCCAGUAAGUUGUAUUCCUUGUCCAACAUCAACUUUUUAGCAUGCCAUAUUUUAAUGAGUGCUCACAAUUACAAAAGAUGUCCAAGAUAGUAUAUUUAUAUGUGAAAUAUCUCUUCCUUCAAUAUUCUUUCAUGAAUUGUUCAAGUGACCAAUUAUGCGUUUGCUAACUUUCAAUAAGUUUACUACCUAUACUUAUUAUGUGUGAAGUCAUUACUCCCCAUGUUAUAAGCAUAUGAAAUGUAUAUAAAUUCAAAUUUAUGAUAUUCAAUUCAUUCAACUAUUUACUCAUAGGAUAUACGUGAAGCACGUGAGUAAAUGACAAACUACUCCAAAAAGAUAUAAGUGAAGAACACUGAGUAGUCAAAUAAUUAACUAGCCAUGGGAGGAUUCUUUUUCAUUCAAGAUUUCAGAUCCAAUGAUUUUAUUCAAACAGCAAGUAAAAUUGAAAAUACGCUCCAAGAAAAACACAUAUCAUGUGACGAAUAAAAAUAUAGCUCCGAGUAAGGUAUACCGAUAGUUUUGAAGACGAAAGAGGGGAUGCCUUCCGGGGCAUCCCCAAGCUUAGGUGCUUGAGUCUUCCUUGAAUAAUACCUUGGGGUGCCUUGGGCAUCCCCAAGCUUAGGGUAUUUCCACUCCUUAUUCUCCUCAUAUCAAUAUCUCACCCAAAUCUUGAAAACUUCAAUCACACAAAACUUAACGGAACUUCGUGAGAUAGGUUAGUAUGAUAAAGAGUAAACCAUUCACUUUGGUACUGUAAAAGACAAGGUUCAUAAUUGUUCUCACACAUUGACUACUGUACCAUAUCAUUUCUACAAUUUAUAUUGAGAAAUAUAAGCCAUAGAAACUAGAAAACAAGCAAACUAUGCAAUCAAAACAGAAUCUAUCAGAAACAGAACAGUCUGUAAUGAUCUGAACAGAAACCAUACUUCUGCUACUCCAAAAAUUAUGAAAUAAACUUUUAAACGUGAGGAAUUUGUCUAUUAAUCUUCUGCAAAAAGAAUCAACUCAAAAUCACUCUUCUGUAAAAAAUGACACCUAAUCUCGUGAGCACAAAGUUUCUGUUUUUUACAGCAAGAUUACAUUAACUUUCAUCCAAGUCUUCCCAAAGGUCUUACUUGGCACUUUAUUGAAACAAAAGCUAUAAAACAUGAUUACUACAGUAGCUUAAUCAUGUAAACACACAAAAACAGUAAGGGUAAAUAUUGGGUUGUCUCCCAACAAGCGCUUUUCUUUAUUGCCUUUUAGCUAGGCAUGAUGAUUUCAAUGAUGCUCACAUAAAAGAUAAGAAUUGAAACGUAAAGAGAGCAUCAUGAAGAAUAUGACUAGCACAUUUAAACCUAACCCACUUCCUAUGCCUAGGGAUUUUAUGAGCACACAAUUUAUAGGAACAAGGAUCAACUAGCAUAGGAAGGCCAAACAAGUAUAACUUCGAAACUUUAAGCACAUAGAGAAGAAACUUGAUAUUAUUGCAACUCCUAAAAGCAUGUAUUCCUCCCUCAUAAUAAUUUUCAGUAGCAUCAUGAAUGAGUUCAACAAUAUAACCAUCAUGUAAAGCAUUCUUUUCAUGAUCUACAAGCAUAGAAAUUUUACUACUCUCCACAUAAGCAAAAUUCUUCUCAUUCAGAAUAGUGGGAGCAAACUCAACAAAAUAACUGUCAUGUGAGAGAUAAUCCAAUUGAAAAUUAAAAUCAUGAUGACAAGUUUAAUGGUAAACAUUAUUCUUUAUAGCAUACAUGUCAUCACAAUAAUCAUCAUAGAUAGCAACUUUGUUCUCAUAAUCAAUUGGAACCUCUUCCGAAAUAGUGGAAUCAUUACUAACUAAAGUCGACACUCUUCCAAAUCCACUUUAGAUGAUAGUAUUAUUCAUACUCCAAAAGAUAUAAGUGAAGUUCAUGGAGCAGUCUACAAUUAAUAUAGACUAACCAAUAUCCAAGCUCAAAAUAUAUAAGUGAAGCACACGAAGCAUUCUAUAAAAACAUACUCAGAAGAUUUAAGUGAAGCGCAAAGAGCAUUCUAUAAAAUCAUACUCAAAAGAUAUAAGUGAAGCACAUGAAUCAUUCUAUAAAUCUAUGAAGGGAUAUCUCAUACUAGCAUGGAAAAGGAAAAACACAAAGGACACAAAUCAUGUGAACAAAACAAGGUAUACCGAUAAUUGUUGAAGAAGAAAGAUGGGAUGCCAACCGGGGCAUCCCCAAGCUUAGAUGCUUGAGUAUCCUUGGAAUAUUUACUUGGGGUGCCUUGGUCAUCCCCAAGCUUGAACUCUUGCCUCUCUUUAUUCUUCUCACAUUGGUAACUCCUCGUUCUUCGAACACUUCAUCCACAAAAACUUAACAAAAACUUUGUGAGAUCCGUUAGUAUACUAGAGCAAAUCACUACCUUUAGGUACUGUUACAAACUCAUUCCAAUUGCAUAUUAGCACUUUAUCUACUGUAUUCCAACUUCACCAUGGUUCAUACCCCUGAUACUACCCAUAGAUUCAUCAAAAUAAGCGAUCAACACACAGCAAACAGAAUUUGUCAAAAACUGGAUAGUCUGUAGUAAUAUGGAAGUUUAAUAAACUUCUGUAAGUCCAAAAAAUUCUAAACAAAUAUGAAAAUUUAAAAAAUUUGUACAUAAGUAAUGUGCAAAAAGUUUCAGACCAUUUGACUUUCCAGUAAAAAAAUGUAAAUUCACGCGCUAUAGCCAAAGUUUCUGUUUUUGUACUGCACAUAGUAAACAAGCAAUCUAAUCAUCCUAAAACCAAAGCUUGGCACAUUAUUUUUAUAUAAUACAAUGGAUAUAUACAAGGGUAUAAUUAUUUUCAGAGAAGCUUCCAUGAAAAGUUUUACAUUGUUUCCAUCAGCAUGAACACAAGUGCUCAAGGUCGACCCUCACUUCUUCAAUGCAUAACCUUCCAAUCACUUCUCUUAUUGAAAAACUUUUUAGGCAUGAGAGGCAAGUAAUUUUUUUUAUUCUUUAAAAAAAAUUGUAUGUUUCACCCACAACUAAACAGAAACAAAAAGGAAAAACAAAAUCUACUUAGUGAAGAAAGCAAACAAGCACACACAAGAAUAUCAACCCCACGCUAUUGCUCACCGGCAACGGCGCCAUAAAAGAGCUUGAUAAUCCCCAAGUGCAGGGAAUCAUCGUAGCAAUUCCCAAAGGUAGAAGUGAUAAGUAUGGAGUGUCGAACCCACAAGGAGCUAAAGGUAAGAUCAAUAUUCUCUCAAGUCCUAUCUGCCACUGAUACAACUCUACGUACACCGAUCGUUUGCUUCCAACUAGAAACGAGAUAUAAAACUACGUUGUGGGUAUGAAGAGGAUAACUUUGCAUGAUAUCGGAGAGCUAAAAUAUAAAAGUAGGUGCUGUUAUCAUAAAGUUAGAAUAUAUUACUAAAUAUUAUAAAUAACGAGUGUGGAAUAAUGAUGGGUCGGUGUGCGGAAUUAUCCUAGGCAAUCGUUAACAAGACCGGUAGUCAUCAUUGCAAUUUCAUAUGAGGGAGAGGCAUAAGCUAACAUACUUUCUCUUCUUGGAUCAUAUGCACUUAUGAUUGGAACUCUAGCAAGCAUCCGCAACUACUAAAGAUCAUUAAGGAAAAACCCAACCAUAGCAUUAACAUAUCAAGUCCCCUUUAUCCCAUACGCAACAACCCCCUUACUCGGGUUUAUGCUUCUGUCACUCAAGCAACCCACUAUAAGCGAAUCAUGAACGUAUUACAACACCCUACAGCGGGAAUCCCUCACGCUUGCGCGACACGGAGGGCACAAUAGGACAGCACCAAAAUAAAACAUACAACUCAUACCAAUCUAGAUCAUCAAUCAUCCCAAAGACAAAGGAUAUCUACUCAAAACAUCAUAGGAUGGCAACACAUCAUUGGAUCAUAAUAUGUGGCAUAAAGCACCAUGUUCAAGUAGGGAUUACAGCGGGGUGCGGGAGAGUGGACCGUGUAAAAGAGAUGAGGAUGGUGAUGAUAAUGGUGAUGUUGAUGAAGACGAUCACCACGGCGAUGAUUCCCCUCCCAAUGGCACUCCGGCAUCACCGAGAGAGAGGAGGAGAGGUUCUCCCCCUUGUGAUUUCUCCUUCAUGGCCUCCCCUGGAUGGGGAGAGGUUCUCCCUCUGGAUCUUGGCCUUCAUGGAGAUGAUGGCCCCUCUGGGGUCCUCUCCAUGGCCUCCGGUGAUGAUGGCCCCCUCCGGCAGGGUGCCAGAGAGGGCCUAGAUUGAUUUCUCGUGGCUACAGAGGCUUGCGGCGGCGGAACUUCCGAUCUAGGUUAUUUUCUGGAGGUUUGGGUAUUUAUAGGAGAGGUUGGCGUCGAGAACAAGUUAGGGGGGCCCACGGGAAGUCCACGAGGCACAGGGGCGUGCCCUCCACCCUCGUGGGGCCCAUGGGACUCCCCUCCGGUAACUCUUCAUUCCAGUAUUUUUUAUAUUUUCCACAAAAAUUCUUCGUUGAUUUUCAUCGCAUUCCGAGAACUUUUAUUUCUGCACAAAAACCAACACAACGGUAGUUCUGCUAAAAACAGCAUCAGUCCGGGUUAGUUGUAAUCAAAUCAUACCAAAAUCAUAUAAAACUAUUGUAAACAUGGCAUGAAUACUUCAUAAAUUAUAGAUACGUUGGAGACGUAUCAACCUACGAGGUUCGGUAGUAACUUGAUCUGAAGUGUCAUAAUCAUCAUCAUUAGCUUCCUCACUAAUUGGUGUAGGCAUCACCUGAAUUAAUUUCUGUGAUGAACUACUUUCCAACUCGAGAGAAGGUACAAUUACCUCAUCAAGUUGUACUUUCCUCCCACUCACUUCUUUCAAGAGAAACUCCUUCUCUAGAAAGGAUACAUUCUUAGCAACGAAUAUCUUGCCUUCGGACCUGUGAUAGACGGUGUACCCAACAGUCUCCUUUGGGUAUCCUAUGAAGACACAUUUCUUCGAUUUGGGUUCGAGCUUAUCAGGUUGAAGCUUUUUCACAUAAGCAUCACAGCCCCAAACUUUAAGAAACAACAGCUUAGGUUUCUUGCCAAACCAUAGUUCAUACGGUGUCGCCUCAACGGAUUUAGAUGGUGCCCUAUUUAAUGUGAAUGCAGUUGUCUCUAAUGUAUAACCCCAAAACGAUAGCGGUAAUUCAGUAAGAGACAUCAUAGAUCGCACCAUAUCUAAUAAAGUACGGUCACGAUGUUCGGACACACCAUUACACUGUGGUGUUCCAGGUGGCGUGAGUUGCGAAACUAUUCCACAUUGUUUCAAAUGAAGACCAAACUCAUAACUCAAAUAUUCACUUCCACGAUCAGAUCGUAGAACUUUUAUUUUCAUGUUACGAUGAUUUUCUACUUCACUCUGAAAUUCUUUGAACUUUUCAAAUGUUCCACACUUAUGUUUCAUUAAGUAGAUAUACCUAUAUCUGCUCAAAUCAUCUGUGAAGGUCAGAAAAUAAUGAUACCCACCGCGAGCCUCAACACUCAUCGGACCGCAUACAUCAGUAUGUAUUAUUUCCAAUAAGUCAGUUGCUCGCUCCAUUGUUCCGGAGAACAGAGUCUUAGUCAUCUUGCCCAUGAGGCAUGGUUCGCAAGCAUCAAGUGAUUCCAAAAUCCCAUCAGCAUGGAGUUUCUUCAUGCGCUUUACACCAAUAUGACCUAAACGGCAGUGCCACAAAUAAGUUGCACUAUCAUUAUUAACUUUGCAUCUUUUGGCUUCAAUAUUAUGAAUAUGUGUAUCACUACGAUCGAGAUUCAGUAAACCAUUUACAUUGGGUGUAUGACCAUAGAAGGUUUUAUUCAUAUAAACAGAACAACAAUUAUUCUCUGACUUAAAUGAAUAACCGUAUCGCAAUAAACAUGAUCCAAUCAUAUUCAUGCUCAACGCAAACACAAAAUAACAUUUAUUUUAGGUUCAACACUAAUCCCGAAGGUAAAGGGAGUGUGCGAUGAUGAUCUUAUCAACCUUGGAAUUACUUCCAACACACAUUGUCACCUCGCCCUUAACUAGUCUGUGUUUAUUUUGCAACUACUGUUUUGAGUUACUACUCUUAGCAACUAAACCAGUAUCAAAUACCCAGGGGUUGCUAUAAACACUAGUAAAGUACACAUCAAUAACAUGUAUAUCAAAUAUACCUUUGUUCACUUUGCCAUCCUUCUUAUCCGCCAAGUAUUUGCGGCAGUUCUACUUCCAGUGACCAUUUCCUUUGCAGUAGAAGCACUCAAUUUUAGGCUUGGGUCUAGCUUUGGGCUUCUUCAUGGGAGUGGCAACUUGCUUGUCAUUCUUCUUGAAGUUCCCUUUCUUUCCCUUGCCCUUUUACUUGAAACUAGUGGUCUUGUCAACCAUCAACACUUGAUGCUUUUCUUGAUUUCUACCUUCGCCGAUUUCAGUAUCGCGAAGAGCUCGGGGAAUCUUUUUCGUCAUCCCUUGCAUAUUAUAGUUCAUCAUGAAGUUCUAGUAACAUGGUGAUAGUGACUAGAGAACUCUGUUAAUCACUAUCUUAUCUAGAAGAUUAACUCCCACUUGAUUCAAGCGAUUGUAGUACUCAGACAUUCUGUGCACAUGCUCACUGGUUGAGCUAUUCUCCUCCAUCUUGUAGGCAAAAUACUUGUCAGAGGUCUCAUACCUCUCGACUUGGGCAUGAGUCUGAAAUACCAAUUUCAACUCUUGGAACAUCUCAUAUGCUCCGUGUCGUUUCAAAACAUUUUUAAAGUCCUGGUUCUAAGCCGUAAAUCAUGGUGCACUAAACUAUCAAGUAGUCAUCAUACCAAGCGUGUCAAACGUUCAUAACGUCUGCAUCUGCUCAUGCAAUAGUUCUGUCACCUAGCGGUGCAUCAAGAACAUAAUUCUUCUAUGCAGUAAUGAGGAUAAUCCUUAGAUCACGGACCUAGUUCGCAUCAUUGCUACUAUCAUCUUUCAACUUAGUUUUCUCUAGGAACAUAUCAUAAAUAAAAUGGGGAAGCUAUACGCGAGCUAUUGAUCUACAACAUAGAUAUGCAAAUACUAUCAGGACUAAGUUCAUGAUAAAUUUAAGUUCAAUUAAUCAUAUUACUUAAGAACUCCCACUUAGAUAGACACCCCUCGAGUCAUCUAAAUGAUCACGUGAGCCAUAUCAACUAAACCAUGUCCGAUCAUCACGUGAGAUGGAGUAGUUUUCAAUGGUGAACGGCACUAUGUUGAUCAUAUCUACUAUAUGAUUCACGCUCGACCUUUCGGUCUCAGCGUUCCGAGGCUACAUCUGCAUAUGCUAGGCUCGUCAAGUUUAACCCGAGUAUUCUGCAUGCACAAAACCGGCUUGCACCCAUUGUAUGUGAACGUAGAGCUUAUCACACCCGAUCAUCAUGUGGUGUCUCAGGACGAAGAACUGUCGCAAUGGUGCAUACUUAGGGAGAACACUUAUACCUUGAAAUUUUAGUAAGGGAUCAUCUCAUAAUGCUACCGUCGUACUAAGCAAAAUAAGAUACACAAAAGAUAAACAUCACAUGCAAUCAAAAUAUGUGACAUGAUAUGGCCAUCAUCAUCUUAUGCUCAUGAUCUCCAUCAUAGAAGCAUCGUCAUGAUCUCCAUCGUCAUCGGCGCGACACCUUGAUCUCCAUCGUAGCAUCAUUAUCGUCUCGCCAACUAUUCCUUCUACGACUAUCGCUACCGCUUAGUGAUAAAGUAAAAACAAUUACAUGGCGAUUGCAUUGCACACAAUAAAGCGACAACCAUAUGGCUCCUGCCAGUUGCCGAUAACUCUGUUACAAAACAUGAUCAUCUCAUACAACAAUUUAUAUCACAUCAUGUCUUGACCAUAUCACAUCACAGCAAACCCUGCAAAAACAAGUUAGACGUCCUCUACUUUGUUAUUGCAAGUUUUUCGUGGCUGCUAUGGGCUUCUAGCAAGAACCGUUCUUACCUACGCAUCAAAACCACAAUGAUUUUUCGUCAAGUGUGAUGUUUUACCUUCAACAAGGACCGGGCGUAGUCAAACUCGAUUCAACUAAAUUUGGAGAAACAGACACCCACUAGCCACCUGUGUGCAAAGCAUGGCGGUAGAACCAGUCUCAUGAACGCGGUCAUGUAAUGUUGGUCUGGGCCGCUUCAUCCAACAAUACCACCGAAUCAAAGUAAGACGUUGCUGGUAAGCAGUAUGACUAUUAUCGCCCACAACUCUUUGUGUUCUACUCGUGCAUAUAACAACUACGCAUAGACCUGGCUCGGAUGCCACUGUUGGGGAACGUGGCAUUUCAAAAAAAUUGCCUACGAUCACGCAAGAUCUAUCUAGGAGAAGCAUAGCAAUGAGCGGGGAGAGUGUGUCCACGUACCCACGUAGACCGAAAGCGGAAGCGUUUACUAACGCGGUUGAUGUAGUCGAACGUCUUCGCGAUCCCACCAAUCCAAGUACCGAACGUACGGCACCUCCGCGAUCUGCACACGUUCAGCUCGGUGACAUCCCUCGAACUCUUGAUCCAGUUGAGGCCGAGGGAGAGUUCCGUCAGCACGACGGCGUGGUGACGGUGAUGAUGAAGUUACCGGCGCAGGGCUUCGCCUAAGCACUAUGACGAUAUGACUGAGGUGUGUAACUGUGGAGGGGGCACCGCACACAGCUAAAAGAUCAACUUAUGUGUUCUAGGGUGCCCCCGUAUAUAAAGGAGGGAGAGGGAGAGGUAGCCGGCCCUAGGGGGCGUGCCAAGGUGUGGAGUCCUACUAGGACUCCCUAGUCCUAGUAGGAUUCCACCUCCCACACGGAGUAGGAAAGGGGGAAGGGAGAAGGCGAAGGAAAGGGGGGCCGGCCCCCUUCUCCUAGUCCUAAUCGGCCUCCUGCCCAAGGGGUGUGCACUAGCCCCUUAAAUUAUGGGCUAGUGUGCUUCCCUCUUAUGGCCCAUAAGGCCCAUAACUUCUCCCGGGGGGUUCCGGUAACCUCCCGGCACUCCGGAAAAAUGUCCGAAUCACUUGGAACCAUUCUGAUGUCCAAAUGCAACCUUCUAAUAUAUGAAUCUUUACCUCGCAACCAUUUCGAGACUCCUCGUCAUGUCCGUGAUCUCAUCCGGGACUCCGAACAAACUUUGGUACAUCAAAUCACAUAACUCAUAAUACAAAUCGUCAUCGAGCGUUAAGUGUGCGGACCCUACGGGUUCGAUAACUAUGUAGACAUGACCGAGACACAUCUCCGGUCAAUAACCAAUAGCGGAACCUGGAUGCUCAUAUUGGCUCCUACAUAUUCUACAAAGAUCUUUAUCGGUCAAACCGCAUAACAACAUACGUUGUUCCCUUUGUCAUCGGUAUGUUACUUGCCCGAGAUUCGAUCGUCGGUAUCAUCAUACCUAGUGCAAUCUUGUUACCGGCAAGUCUCUUUAAUCAUUCUGUAAUGCAUCAUCCCGCAACUAACUCAUUAGUCACAUUGCUUGCAAGGCUUAUAGUGAUGUGCAUUACCGAGAGGGCCCAGACAUACCUCUCCGAUACUUGGAGUGACAAAUCCUAAUCUCGAUCUAUGCCAACCCAACAAACACCUUUGGAGACACCUGUAGAGCAUAUUUAUAAUCACCCAGUUACGUUGUGAUGUUUGAUAGCACAAAAGGUGUUCCUCCGGUAUUCGGGAGUUGCAUAAUCUCAUAGUCAGAGGAACAUGUAUAAGUCAUGAAGAAAGCAAUAGCAAUAAAACUCAAUGAUCAUAAUGCUAAGCUAACGGAUGGGUCUUGUCCAUCACAUCAUUCUCUAAUGAUGUGAUCCCAUUCAUCAAAUGACAACACAUGUCUAUGGUCAGGAAACAUAACCAUCUUUGAUUAACGAGCUAGUCAAGUAGAGGCAUACUAGGGACACUCUGUUUUGUCUAUGUAUUCACACACAUAUUAAGUUUCCGGUUAAUACAAUUCUAGCAUGGAUAAUAAACAUUUAUCAUGAUAUAAGGAAAUACAAAUAACAACUUUAUUAUUGCCUGUAGGGCAUAUUUCCUUCAGAAUCUGUCUUAAACAGGACAGUCUGUAGCAAUCUGAACAUCAACCAUACUUUUGUAACUCCAACAAUUCUGAAAAAUUAGGACAAAAUAAAAAAUGUAUAGCAAUACUGUGCAAAAAGUUUCAGAAACGUUUGACGUUCCAGUAAAAAAUGAAAAUUCACGCGCUACAGCCAAAGUUUCUGUUCCUGCACCGCACAUACCAACAAGCAAUCUAAUCAUCUUAAAGGCAAAUCAUGGCACAUUAUUUUUGUAAUACAAUGGAUUUGUACAAGGGGAUAAUUAUUUUUGUGAGAAUCUUCGUGAAAAUUCUACAUUGUUUCCAUCUGAGCAUGAACACAAGUGUUCAAGGUCGACCCUCACUUCACCAAUGCAUCACUUUUCAAUCCUUCUCUUUUUGUGAAGUUUUAAGUUCCCCUCUAUAUUUUUUUGUUUUUAAACUUUAUAAAAGCACUCAACAGAAAUAAAUGACUCUCUGAAACUUCCGGUUGUCUCCCUGGCGGCUCUUUCUUUAAAGCCAUUAAGCUAGGCAUAAAGUGCUCAAGUAAUGGAUCCACCCGGAUCCCAAGGUAUAUCAAAGCCAAUUUUAAUUAGCAAUGAUUUGGCAUUUAGUAGUGAAACAAAGCAACAUAAAUCAUGCAAUGACGAAGUCUAACUCUCUUCCUAUGCAUCGGCAUGUCAUACAAGAACAAUUCAUGCACAUCAAGUAAAGGUCAAUACAUAGCAUAAGUAGUUCCUUGCAAUUUUAUCGUGUUGGAAACAUAGAGAGGUGGAGAUGUAGUUCCUCUCUCAUAAUAAUUGCAAGUAGGAGCAGCAAGCACAUGCAUAUUACAUUCAUCAAAAUUAUCAUGUGCAAUGGUAAAAGGCAACCCAUCAAUAUAAUCCUUAAUAAGAACAAACUUCUCCGAUAUAGUGUAGUUUGCAGAAUUCAAAAAGGUAAUAGGACUAUCAUGUGUGGGUGCAAUAGCAACAAUUUCAUUCUUAACAUAAGGAACUAUAGCAAGUUCAUCUCCAUAAGCAUAAUUCAUAUUGGCAUCUUGGCCACAAGCAACGGGAUCAUAGCAAUUAUCAUAGCAUUCAUCCUUCGGUAAGAACGAAUGGACAUUAAACAAUGUAUGAGUUGGAGGUUUACUCUCAUUAGAAGGUGGGAACGGGUAGCUAAUCCGCUCCUCCUCCUUUUGUUCUUCGCUCUCCUCAUCAUCUCUUUCAUCCAAUGAGCUCACAGUUUCAUCAAUUUCUACUUCCAUAGACUCCUGCAAAAUGUUAAUCUCUUCUUGGACAGCGGAGGAGUCCUCAAUAUAUGGUUUAACAUAGGCAUUAGAAGCAUAAUUAUCAUAGCAAUAUUUAAGUAUGGCAAAAUUUCCAGAUUUGUAAAGAGUAGCAUCAUACGUUUCAAUCAAAGAAGCAAUUUCAUAAGCACCCUUAAAAGCGACAAAUUCUUCAAUUUGUUGAACAUCAUAGUAAUUAUAAACACCCUUAGCAUAUGAAGAUACGAUUCCAUUAUCACUAAACUCACAUUGGUAGGGAAGGUGUUUCUUAGGGUCUUCAGAACAACAAGUAAAAUCAUAUAUUUCACAUAAAUUCCAAGCAUAGCAUUGCAAACGUGAAUUUGAUCUAGUAAAAGUUUCCCUUUUUGAGAUAAGCGGUGUGGCACAUAACAAGCAUGCUCAUCUAAAGAUUUGCCCUCAGCUAAGCUAGUUGGGGUUUCAGCACGAGCACAUAAGGACCGAAGAUGAUCCAAGUAAAAAGCUUCAGCAGUAUGAUAGAUUUUGGGUGGUUCUUCAACCAUUGGUUGAGCAGGUACAACUAAUUUUUUCUGGUAUUUUGCAUUCCCUACCCAUAACUAAAGAUAGAAAACAAGAGCACAAAAUAAAAAUUAAUUAGUGGUAACGCAAACAAGCACAUACGAGAAUAUUCACCCCACGCUAUUGCUCCCCGGCAACGGCGCCAGAAAAAGGGUCUUGAUAACCCACAAGUAUAGGGGAUCAGUUGUAGCCUUUCUCGAUUAAUAAGAGUGUCGAACCCAACGAGGAGCUAAAGGUAGAACACAUAUUCCCUCAAGUUCUAUCGACCACCGAUACAACUCUACGCACGCUUAACGUUCACUUUACCUAGAACAAGUAUGAGACUAGAAGUACUUUGUAGGUGUUGUAGGAUAGGUUUGCAAUAUAAUAAAGAGCACGUAAAUAAAAACUAGGGGAUGUUUAGAUAAAGACACAACUAAGUUAGUUUUAGUAGAGAGCUUUUUGUCACGAGAAAGUUAUUUGUCCCUAGGCAAUCGAUAACUAGACCGGUAAUCAUUAUUGUAAUUUUAUAUGAAGGUGAGGCACAAGCUAACAUACUUUCUCUUCUUGGAUCAUAUGCACUUAUGGUUGGAACUCUAGCAAGCAUCCGCAAGUACUAAAGAUUAUUAAGGUAAAACCCAACCAUAGCAUUAAAGUAUCAAGUCCUCUUUAUUCCCAUACGCAAACAACCUACUUACUCGGGUCUGUGCUUCUAUCACUCACACCACCCACCAUAAGCAAAUCAUGAACAUAUUGCAAACCCUACAACGGGGAUCCCUCACGCUUGCGCGACACGGAGAGCACCAUAGGACAUCACCAAUAAUAAAACAUGCAACUCAAACCAAUCACGGUCAUCAAUCAACCCAUAGGACAAAAUGGAUCUACUCAAACAUCAUAGGAUAGCCAUACAUCAUUGGGAAAUAAUAUAUAGUGUUGAGCAUCAUGUUCAAGUAGAGAUUACAAUGGGGAGAAGGGGUGUUACACCGCUGCAUAGAGGGGGAGAGAGUUGGUGAUGACAGCGGCGAAGUUGUUGAUGUAGAUUGUCGUUGCGAUGAUGGCCCCGGUGGCGCUCCGGCGCCGCUGGGAGAGAGGGGGAGAGAGCCCCCCUUCUUCUUCUUCCUUGACCUUCCCCCUAGAUGGGAGAAGGGUUUCCCCUCUGGUCCUUGGCUUCCGUGGCGGCGGAGGGGCGAGAGCCCCUCCGAGAUUGGAUCUCUCUCUCUGUUUCCUUCUGUUUCUGCGCUCCCAGAUUCUGGCCUUUCACUAUUUCUUAAAUUCCGGGAGAUCCGUAACUCUGAUUGGGCUGAAAUUUUAACACGAUUUUUAUCCGGAUAUUAGCUUUAUUGCGCCAGAAGAAGGGCACCAACCGCCUUAUGGAGUGGCCACAAGGGCCCAGGGCGCGCCCUCCGUCCUUGUGGGCCCCUCGGGCAUCGUCUCGCGUUGAUUCCACUUCCCAAAAUUCACUUAUAUUCCAAAAAAACUCCAUAAGUUUUUAUCCCGUUUGGACUCCGUUUGAUAUGGAUUUUCUGCGAAACAAAAAACAUGCAACAAACAGGAAAUGGCAGUGGGCACUGGAUCAAUAUGUUAGUCCAAGAAAAUCAUAUAAACUGUUGCCAAAAGUAUGUAAAAGUUGUAGGAUAUUGCCAUGGAACAAUAAAAAAUUAUAGAUACGACAGAGACAUAGCAGCAGCACUCCUCCUUGACUACGCGGCGAGGUGACACGAGUAGUGCUCCACCUUCACGACGCGCCGGCGAGAGCCGCUCCUCCUUCACGGCGCGCCGAGGUGGCAGUGAGAGCCACUCUUCCUUGACGCGGUGUCCGAUUUGGACACCGCGGCUGCGCGGCGGCGGAUAGCAUGGAGGGGAUGCCGGUUCCAUCUUCACGGGGAGGAGCGCCCCUAGUGGCGGAGCCGGGCCGUUGGUGUGGACGACGAAGCGACGAAGCAUCAUCUCCGUCUUCUCCUCGAACUCCGCGGCAGUGCCGGCGUAGACCUGGACAGGCACCGUUGGCGCGGACUGUGGCAGUGGUGGCUGCUGGUCCUUCUCGUCGCCGGAGGAGAUGACGAUCUCCUCCCGCGUCGGGUCGCCGCCAGCCGACGAGGACGACGGCCCCGGAGUCCGAGGGCGAAGUCUCCACGAGCCGCUAGAUCGCACCCCAGAACCGCCUGCCGGUGCCGACUCCCAGGACUUGCCCAUCGCCGGAGAUGUGGAGGGGGAGUAUGGCGAGGAGGAGGAGGAGGAAGGAGGAUGAUACGAUGUGGACGGCGCCGGAGCGCGGCUUAAAUAGCCGCGGCCAGGCCAUGCGAAGGGCCGGUCAGCCGCUUCAAUGCGGCGCAGCGGCCGGAGUUGGUUCCUCGGGAACCUGCGUCCGCAUUGAAGCGGCGGCUGCCGAGAGGUCGCGUCGGUCAGCGCCGCCCUCCCGCCCUCCGGUCACAUCGUGGCAUCAAUGCUGGCCUCCGUGUGCUCUAGGCCGGCAUGCGGCGCGGUAUGCAGCGCGUGCAUCAAAAGGAAAACGCGGGAGGGGCGGGUGACGAAUUUUUGGUGUGCCAGGGGCCAGAAGUGUACUUGGGAGCGGUCCAGACUCCCGCAAACCUCCCUCACUUUUGUCUUCGGUUUGCGGGAGAAAUCGCGUUCGGACCACCCCGCGGACCGAUACAGGUCGAUGUUGGAUGGAUUUCGCGGUUCAGACAGCGCAAUCCAAAUGGUUGCGGGAGGCUUACGGAUCUGCGUGAAGAUGCCCUUAAAGCCCUACGAGCAUGGACGUCCUUUUUACCAUUUAGGAAACCUUACCUAGCAAGAGGACGUGCCUCCUAUGGAUUGGGUUUACUAUGUUGGCUUGGCUCUUGGGACUAUCUGCAAUAAGAUUUAUUAUCGAGGGUAUUCAUGUCAUGACUCACUUUCGUCUAUGUUGCUUUGGUUCAGCAAUAGUGGUCACUCUCUAGAGGCAGGGAUGGCGAAGCACUUGAUGCCCUCCUCCUUGGCUGCUUGAGGUAGCCAGUCAUCUUACUUCGCCUAUGACGUAGCAUUCUUGCCUUGGCAGAUUUUGUUUUUGUUUUCUUUGUUCCCUUUGGGCUUACUCACUGUUGAGCUUAACAUCUACUACCUCCGUAACAAGAUAUAAGAUGUUUUUUUUUGUUUAAUUUGGUUACAAAGGUACUCAUCUACUACCACAUUUUGGUGUCAUUGUUAAUUAAACUCAUUGCUUUAUCUGUAAAGCAAGUCCAAAACCCUAUUUUCUAACCUAUAUACUGUUGAAAAAUAAAAGUUAGAAAAGGUCUGUCGCCAAACAACCAAAUUUGCAUAGCAUAUCAUUUGAGUGCAUAAUAUCAUCAGUUCAGCACACUCAUUUUAUGGCUUGUGGUUGAUGAACUAUAGAGCCCACGUACAUUUAACAUUGAUGAUCAUUUAAGCUCGUGUGGAUCACAACCAUUGAAAUGACCAAUAAUCAAACCCUAUCUUGUCCCCUUUCCCACUGCAUAGUCUCGUACCUCAGCAUAACUAUAGUCAUUAAAUUAAUACCGCAAAGAAUAUGUCACGUGUUUAUUUUUGCGCCCUAGUCGAUUCUCAAACCGUACAUUUUGUUACNNNNNNNNNNNNNNNNNNNNNNNNNNNNNNNNNNNNNNNNNNNNNNNNNNNNNNNNNNNNNNNNNNNNNNNNNNNNNNNNNNNNNNNNNNNNNNNNNNNNNNNNNNNNNNNNNNNNNNNNNNNNNNNNNNNNNNNNNNNNNNNNNNNNNNNNNNNNNNNNNNNNNNNNNNNNNNNNNNNNNNNNNNNNNNNNNNNNNNNNNNNNNNNNNNNNNNNNNNNNNNNNNNNNNNNNNNNNNNNNNNNNNNNNNNNNNNNNNNNNNNNNNNNNNNNNNNNNNNNNNNNNNNNNNNNNNNNNNNNNNNNNNNNNNNNNNNNNNNNNNNNNNNNNNNNNNNNNNNNNNNNNNNNNNNNNNNNNNNNNNNNNNNNNNNNNNNNNNNNNNNNNNNNNNNNNNNNNNNNNNNNNNNNNNNNNNNNNNNNNNNNNNNNNNNNNNNNNNNNNNNNNNNNNNNNNNNNNNNNNNNNNNNNNNNNNNNNNNNNNNNNNNNNNNNNNNNNNNNNNNNNNNNNNNNNNNNNNNNNNNNNNNNNNGGCACCGGCACUCGGGCCGCCUGUCAAUGAAAUAGACAACUAGAGAACUCCCCGUCGCAUCCUUGCCCCCUCCGCCCGUGCUUGAUCUAUCGGGGUGAAUCCCGACCUCGUCGGCGACUAUGUGGCGAUGGUGGUUAGCGAUGGUCUCGACUCUGUGGAGUUGGUGGUCAGGGGUGGUCUCGGCCAUGUGGCAACGGCGUCGUCUCCGUUGGCGAAACGAUGAAGAGAUGGGUAUCGCCGAUUCCUCCCUUAUUUACAUUCUUUUCACCAGCAUAAGCGGGAUUUCGUCACCAUUUUUGUCCUCACUCAUCACGGCCAAUACGCUCUUUUCAUCACGCGCGUGUCCAUCGGACAAUAGUUGCAGCAGAUGGCCCGAAGGGAUUUCUCUCCCGCUUUGUUUCUCCCGAGAAAGAUCUGUUUUCCAUGAAGAAAAUAAUUUUUUUUGCGGGGACCAUGAAGAAAAUAUUUGCUAAUCGAUGUGCCCAUCUAUUACUUGAGUAAUUAUUAAUUAUCUUGGCUGGAUUUUCCCUGUGCAUGCAUCCUCGUUGUUCUUGCUCUGGUGGUUAGCGAUGGUCUUGACUCUAUGGAGUUGGUGGUCAGGGGUGGUCUCGGCCAUGUGGCAACGGCGUCGUCUCCGUUGGCGAAACGAUGAAGAGAUGGGUAUCGCCGAUUCCUCCCUUAUUUACAUUCUUUUCACCAGCAUAAGCGGGAUUUCGUCACCAUUUUUGUCCUCGCUCAUCAUGGCCAAUACGCUAUUUCAACAUGCGCGUGUCCAUCGGACAACAGUUGCAGCAGACGGCCCGAAGGGAUUUCUCUCCCGCUUUCUUUCUCCGGAGAAAGAUCUGUUUUCCAUGAAGAAAAUAUUUUUUUUUUGCGGGGACCAUGAAGAGAAUAUUUGCUAAUCGAUGUGCCCAUCUAUUACUUGAGUCAUUAUUAAUUAUCUUGGNNNNNNNNNNCCCCUCCAAUUAAUCGCUGCCCCAAAAUCAAACCUUUGCCAGAAAAUUAACACGGAAGAUUUUCUUCCAGGGAAAGAGAUUUGUCUUCCAGGAAGAAUACUUCGUUGAUAAGCAUCGACGCACAUCUACUACUGGUACUUCAGUUAUCAUUAUUAAUUAUCUUUGCUGGAUUUUCUUGUGCAUCCUAGCUGUUCUUGCUUGCCCCCAAUUAAUCACUGCCUCCGAACCUUUGCGAGAGAAUUAAUGCGGAGCCAAAGCAUGGCCUGCUGUGCAGAUCGCUCCCGAUCUACGUCAAGCACGAGGAAAUCUUUCUUCAUGCGGAAAAAAGGCUAGGGCUGUAGGGGUGGGGCGCAGCCAGUCAGAGGAGUGAUGAGCGAGGGAGACUUUUUUGACUAUAUAAGAGCGCUAGCCAAUCGCCGCGGCCCCCUGCCCAUCCCGCGCCCGCUGUCAAAUCCUCCGCCUCGCUCCUCCCGCCCACUCCACAGCGCCGCCCGCCCGCCCGCCCUGUCCCGUCAACCAACCGCUCCGCCGUCGCAUGACAUCGCCGUCCAGGUAGCCGCCGCUCGUGCCGGUUUCGAUCGAUGGGGAUGCGGGGGCGGCCCCGCCGCGGCUCGAGAGGGAUAACGUCGUCGCCACCACCUGGGUUCGGCCCCGCCGCGGCCGCCGCGCGGCCGUCCUCCGCCCGUUCCGCAGGUCCGCUCGCCCCCUUCUCCUUCUCUCGCUUCCGGCCGUCGUCGGGCUCGCGUUCAUUGCUCCGAUCGAAUCCUUUUUCUCCUUCCCGAUUCAUCCAACUCCAAACCCCUGUCGCGUGAACCGCCGCGCCGGCGCUAGGCACGGAUUCAGUGCGCGUGACCUAAUUACUGCCUUCCUUUUCUCGGUUCCUAGGAUGCGCGUAAGCUCUUCUCAACAUUUCCGUUUCUUUUUGCGUAAUGUAUGGUAGUAGUUCGUGUUUCAAAGUUGGCACCCGACCGCGAUUCGAUGCGUCAAAGAUUCAGAGUUGCCUUCCCGUGAUGCCAUGAUCCACCCGCUGGGGAUCGAUAGCUGGGGUUUUGAAAACUGAAUUGUGCUGCUCUACCUACCCCUUUUACUGUUCCUCAAGUAUGUACUGUAAUUCCUAGGCAGGUAGUAAUAACUUGUUUCUGAAUAAUGGUAAAAUAUGACUGGCCCUGACCUGCCUGGCCCUGACCUGUCUGAAUAAUGGUAAAAUGUAAUUAUGUCAUUAUUCAGUUCAUCUGGACAGAAUGUUGCCUGAAAUAAUUAUGAUGAAACAAUGCUUUCAGCUUCAUUCUACUCACCGCUUUGAUGCUUGUAGGUACCAACUCUGCUGCUCGUACCGGCAUGCUGUUCAACGUAGAAAUACAACCUGGCUACGCUGAUCCUGAGUCUCUGCGACAUGUUUGGGUACGUACUUUGUGCAUUCCUUUCUCCUUUGAGAUAAAUAUGUUCAGUUUUCGACGUGCCCUGAUCCUUAUGGAUCCGUGCACUAUUAUUUAUGCAUAGAGAUAAAACACAGUUUCAUGCUAACGAAAGUGCUGGAUUGGCAACCAUUUAAUAGAAUCGAUUGUUUACUCCUUGAUGAAUUACAUAUAUACAUUGUGAUUCAACAUUCUGACUGAUAUCCUUUUGUUAUUACAGAAUAGAAGUGCUUCCCCUAUGAAAGGCCGGAAGAGGAAAUUCGGUGUUGAUGCAACCAAAGGUGAAUCACCAGGUAUUAAUGCAAGUAACACCGGGGAGCACCUGCGUUCCUGCAGAAAAGGCAAGGGUCCAGGGAAACGUGCCAGGUUGGUAGACAAAGAAGGUGCUACUGGGUUGGGAAGAGUUCAAACACCAACCGGCUUAUACGAAGAUGAAUGUGCUUUCUGCCAAUCAUUUAGAACCAGUGAGCCGGUAUGUUGCAUAUCAUUUACAUACAUCAAGUAAAAAUUGAUCUGCUGAAGUCUUCUUAUUUGUACUGGCACUAAAACAUGUUCACUCUUCCUAUGUCAGGUGCAUGGUCCGCUGGUACUGUAUCACAAUGGAAGGAUUGUGUCCAGUGACGAGGCCGACGCUACUAACGCCAUAUAUGUCCACUUCAAAUGCAUGGUUUGGUAAGUUUCUUUAUACACCAUGUUUAAUUCUUCAUAUUUAAUUUAUUUAGAAUCAUCAUACACAGUGUUCAUCCAUCCUUUUCAUUCUUUACCCAUGUUCCUGAAGGGCCCCAAAAGUGAAAUCCAACGACGACGGUACUUUUGAGAACGUCGAGAGUGAAAUCGAGCGUGGUUCAAGAUGGGAUUGCAGCAGAUGCAAUCUCCGGGGAGCAGCACUUGGUUGUUAUCGCGCGGGGUGCCCCAAUACUUAUCAUGUCCCAUGUGCAUUCAUGAUACCAGAAUGCCGCUGGGAUGUUGUAAGCUUUUGAGUAUACCUUGUCCUUGAUCCAUUUAUAAACACUGAUGUUCUGACAUGUCUAGUUUUGAUUUUGAAGGAGAAUCUCCAUGUUUGGUGUCCCAUGCAUGCACCACCUGAUGAGAUGAGCUCACCAACAAUUGAGACUGGCAUUCUUUCCCCCGACCCUCAAAAGUACGUGAUCUUUCUUUCAUGUAACUUGAUUAAUCCUUCAUUUUCUAAUCCAGUGUUAUAUUUGGUCAUUUCAGCCAAAGUCCAGCUAACGAAAUUUCUGCCGAUUGCCAAAUGGAAGAUAACCAAAUUAAUCCAUUGCUGGGCAAUGAGAUGAGCUCACCAAUAAUUGGAAGUGACAUUCCUUCCACUGUCCUUCAGAAGUAUGUGAUUUUUCUUCAACCUUCAUGUUACUUGAUUAAUCCUUCAUUUUAUAAUUCACUGUUGUAUGUACUCAUUCCAGCAGUUGCCCAGCUAAAGAAAUUUCCGUCGAUUGCCAAAUGGAAGAUAAACAAUUUAAUCCACUCGUCACAUCAAAUUCUCCUUUGCCUGGACUAGUGCCUGGGUAUGCCAUCUUUCUUCACCCGCCUUGGAGAGGGUUCCGUUCGUUUGGUUAAUCAUUAAUAUUUCAUUUUUUGUUGUUGAUUUUUUUGUAUUUUGUAGUUCCAGCCAAUAUUUAAUUAAAGAAGGAAUAUCUGCCCUUCAUAGAGGGGAAGAUCUACAAGUAGAUCAGCUGAACACCUCAAGUUCUUCCUCGCCUCAGGGGUAUGCGUGGCGGAGGUUACUGAUCAGAUGUUCAAUCAUCAUUCAUUAAUAUUCUUCUAUAAUUUGCUCUUUAUUUCAUCAUUGCAGCCAAUGUACGGACAAAGAAGGAAUUUCUACCAAUUACCGAGCAGAAGACAAACUAGCAAACCAGUCUAGUACCCCUUUGGAUCAGUGGGUUUUGCUCGGCAUAGCUUUAAGUGCAUCAGAAAAGGUAGCGUGGACUAUACUAGCAAACAAUACUCUCCUUUCAGAGCAUUUGGAUAUAUCUGAACAAUACUAGCAAACAUGUGAAUGGACAAGUAAUGCAGCAAUCCAACUUUAUGGUGAAAUUUAAACUAUAUAUAAUUUGCCUGUUUUCGAAUUAAGUUAUGUUCCAUACUAAGCUGUGAUACAAUUGUUUACGUUUGUCAAGCAGGAUUCCUUGAAAGAAUUUGCAUCCUUGACCAGUUCAACCUUGGCUCAGGAAUGGGACAAAACUGUGACUCAUGUUAUUGUGGGCAGAAACGCUGGUUCUCGAUGUGGCAGAUCAUAUGAGGUCCAGAUGGCUAUACUGUCUGGGAAAUGGGUUGUCGCAGCCGGAUGUUAGUAUUAGCCCAUCUUACAUCUCCCGUGUUUGUACUAUUGAUGAUAAUUGUACUACUUCCGAGUUCAUGUUACAUUCUGCUUAAUGUAACAAGCUGCUGGUCUAUUUGCACUUCCAUUUAUCCGUGUGUCAUCUAAAACUUAUCCUAGCUCGGCAGAGAAUAUUAUUAUCCCUGCACUAAAGCAGUUCAUGUCAUAUUCCUGUCUUAGGGGUUGUGGAUUGCUUGGUGGAAAGGAUUUCAGGUCCAAAGCCUUGCUUGGCAAAGCUGAUUCCAAGCCCGGAAAUUUCUUAUGAGGUGAAAUUCUACGAUGGUGCACGCACAUCAAUUGAUGGACCAGCGAAAGGAAGAGCUGGAGCUGCUGAAGGGGUAUGUAUACAUGUCUAGCAAUAAUAUAUUCUCUACGAAUUCUAAAUAGUAAAUAGAGAAAAACACAUGUGAUAAAAACUGAUUGCAGUUUGUCUUAUGCGUAAGUUCAGGGAAUUGGCUUACAAUUCUUUUGUGAAAAAGUUUCCUACUUCGAACAAGUUUAAAAUUCUAUCGAAAUGUUCAUACAGAGACUGUUUGAUGUCAAAGGCUUAAAGUGCAUCUUUAGAGAAAUCUAGGUGUCGUGUGGUCAGGGUAUUCCAAGUAUUUUUUUACAAGUUGGGGUGCUAGACAUAUUUCCAUAUUUUUAUCGCAUCCACAUUCAACAAAGCAAUUAUCUUUUGCAGCAGUAGUUUACAAUUCUCUUUCGAAGUGACAUUUCCCGAAAUGCGGUGUUUUGGAGUGCCAUACACCGUAGUGUGUUUAUUUUAUGAUGCACUUCAAUGGUCUAAAAUGAGUGCAUUUCAAUUAUUGUCUAAUAAAAGCACUAUUGGGAAUGCCUUUCAACAGCCAAAUGACGAGAAAAUGAUGUUUUGCAGGCACGAAAACUGCUCUCAGGACUGCAUUUCUGCUUCAGCGCAUACAUGCACCCAGAAGACAGAGAGGACAUCCAGAAUCUCAUAGCAGCUGGUGGAGGGCAAGUACUGGAGGGAAUCAGCCCAGACGGGUUACGUGAGAAUCUGAAAAGAAAUCCAGCAGAGGUGUACUUCAUCUACCACGGCGGCCCUCCAAGGACGCCCACUUCGGAUUUCGAUCUUGAGGUGCAGGAGUGCAACAAGUACGUGGGAUCGGGAGCGCGGAUGAUCAGACACCUGCAGCUGUUCGAUGCUAUCCUGUGCUACGAUGUACUAUUCCUAAAACCGACCGGUGUCUUCACCAAGAUAUGCAAGUGAAGGGCGUGCUUCGGGUGGUGGCUUUUUGCUCGCGUUACGACAACUCUUUUGGUUUAGCCCCCCACACGAGGUGUGAGGGGGGCUGUUGAAAGUUGACAAAUCACAUACUCUACUCACCCAAUAGGCUACAGGGUGAUGUCGUCGUCGUCGUCGUUGUUGUUUUGGUGCCGGAUUGCUUGUUUACUGGCCCCAUUGGAAGUUGACAAAUCACAUACUCUGCUCACCCAAUAGGCUAUAGGGUGAUGCCGUUGUUGUUGUUUUUGUGCUGGAUUGCUUGUUUACUGGCCUCUUCUAGUGCUUGUGUCAGACGGUU
This 59993-nucleotide long non-coding RNA is filed under the name Triticum aestivum (bread wheat). RNAcentral describes it as "long non-coding RNA (TAES_LNC023728)". Lineage: Eukaryota; Viridiplantae; Streptophyta; Magnoliopsida; Poales; Poaceae. The record is from RNAcentral.